This 86822-nucleotide long non-coding RNA is filed under the name Coffea arabica (coffee). RNAcentral's name for it is "long non-coding RNA (CARA_LNC002175)". The record is from RNAcentral. Lineage: Eukaryota; Viridiplantae; Streptophyta; Magnoliopsida; Gentianales; Rubiaceae.
GUGUCAUCAAAUUUGAACCCUCUGCUGAUGGAGGUUCAAUCUGCAAAACCACUAACACAUACUACCCCAAAGGUGGUGCUCAGAUCGGUGAGGAACACCUCAAGGGAGGAAAAGAGAUGGGUUUGGGAAUGGUUAAGGCUGUUGAGGCUUACCUCCAUGCAAAUCCUACUGCCUACAACUAAUUAUAAUGAAUGCUACUGAAGGACUCUUCGACAUAUUUUCUUCAAGAUUGAAGUACACACUGAGGGUGUGUUUCCUUUUUUGCUUGGUUUGCUUUAAGCUGUUUGGUUAAGUUAAAAACAAAAUUGAAUCAUAGAGAGAACAAAAAAAAUAUAGUGUUUCUUAUGGAGAAAAAAAUGGAGCUGAUGCCUAAAAUCUCACAUGGAUCCAACAAGGAUAUGCUCAAAGUUGGAAAAAUGUGCUAUAAUUAUGAUUACUCCUUUAUGAAAUAAAGCUGAAAGCAGCUCAAUUUCUUUUUGUUUUCCAUAUUAUUCAAUUUCGUUGUCGAUUUUUGAUAGUUGUAUUUUUUUUAUUGCUUUAAUAAGGGCUAUGAUUGGAUAUCCUGUUAUGCCAUUGGCUGUCGAUGCUAAACCUGAUAAAUUAGAUGGAUCAUCCAAAUAAAGACAAAAUUGGCUAUGUAAACAUUGGUGAGGGACUAUUUCAGCUUAAGAAAAAUAGUUGAGGGACUAAAUUGGCUUAUAAUAAAAUUAGGGACUACUUCAGCUUUGUAAAAAUAGUUGAGAGACUAAAUUGACUCAUAAAAAGUUUAGGGACUAUUUUGACAUUAACGAAAUAGUUUUGAGACUAUAAACAUUAGGUCACAAUGUUGAAAUAUCAAAACCCAUGUUUGGGACCAAAACUCAUAGAACUUCUUCACGUCGCUAGCGAAAUUUGAUUCUGAAGUAAUGCUAAUUUUAUUUAUUAUUUGUUUCCUUGCUGGUCUUCUGUCUUUUUGGUUACAAUAUUAAAAUGUAUCCAUAAUUUUCAAUUCCAAAAGUGUUGAAUAUUUAAACGAAUUCUAGAAAGGGCACUGAGAGUCAAAAUCUUAUUCAAACAGCCAGCCAUCUCAGAGUACAUAUUUUUUUAUUAUCAGGUUCAAAAUGUAUCUAUUGCAAUUUUUGAAUGAUCAGCCAUGACUAAGAGAAUAAAAUAAUUCACUUGCUGUUUUUAGAUGUGAAUUCAUGACUGUCAGUAGUCUAUAAAUACACUUAUUGCUCACCACUCUUUGCACCGCAAAAUCUUUUCAAGAUCUAUCAAACCCUCCUGUUCUUGAUCUUUGUCCAUUUGUGAAAAAGCAAAUUAAAGCAUCAUGGCCUCUAUCACUUGUAGUGCUGAGAUGACCUCCCCAAUCCCUCCUGCAAGGUUGUUCAAGGCCGCCAUCCUUGAUGACCACCUUCUUCCCAAGAUCAUGCCACAGGCUAUUAAGAGUGGAAAUCCUUGAAGGAGAUGGUGGAGUUUGAACCAUUAAGUUGAGCACAUUUGGUGAAGGUUAGCAGUUAUAUUAAAUGUAGAACCCAAAUUUUAAGGAUCUAAUAAUAAUCAAUGCGUGCAGGGUUACAGAAUUGGAGGGAUAAAAUAAAUACUCAAAAUAUACGUGGAAGAAAAGAAAAUAAUAAAUUCAACUCAUAAUAUUAUUGAAAUUUCAAACAAUGAAGAAAAUCAUACCACAAUAAAUUCAGCUGGUUCUAAUAAUAAUCAAAGCAUACAAGGUUGCAGAAUUAAAAGGAUAAAACAAACACUCAAAAUAUAUGUGGGAGAGAAGAAAAUAAUAAAUUCAACACACAAUAUUACUGAAAUCUCAAACAAUGAAAAAAGUCACACCAUAAUAGAAAACCUUGCUAAUUCUUCUAGAUUCUUUCUCUUGAGAAACCAACCUAAAUAAUGUCCUAUUUAUAAUCUACCAAACUUGUUAGGAAAGAAACCACUUGCAUAAGAAAUUACCAAAUAAAACAGAAAUUCCUAAAUCACACAACUACUAAAAACAUAACUCAAAUAAAACUAAAAAUAAAUAAAUAUUUCUUGGCUUAGUUUAAUUUGUCAACAUUGCCUCCCUUAAACCAAACUAUCCAUUGAGAUAGGUUCAACACCAUCUCGAGCAAUAAUUUCUAUGUUGUAGUACACUUGACAUGAAACUCUAACUUGUUACCAGUUAUUAAUUUCAUUUUUACAUGUAACAAUGGACGCACUAUGUAUUUUGUAAAAAAUUUCUCAGCAAUUUCUUCUUGAUCAAAGUACUCACUUAUACAAACACAUUCAUCACCAGAAUCACCAUAUUUACCACCAAUGUAAGUGCCUAAAAAUACAAAAUCAUAGAUUGCUUUCUGGCUAAAAUUAUCAUCACCAAAUAAUUCAAAAUAACCACUACUACAAUCAUCCAAAAUUUUCAUACUGUCAGUCAACUCUUUUGGAGUAAAGUAUUUUUCAACUCCGAUGACAUCCAUAUCUAUCAAAUCAAACAUUCUCCCAUGACUUUGAAGAGAGUCCGCAACCAACGAAUUUUUCAACAACAAUUUCAUGUUCUCUUCUCUUAUCAAAUCAAAAUUUUCUUCUUCUUUUGUCAAAUUACCAUUUUAUUUUUUUCAACAAAUUCAUUACUUCUAAUUUCUCCAAACAAGGUACGCAAAUCAAAACUAUCAAUUGAUUCAAAAUUUUCAAUAUCACCCAUAUUAUCAACAAAUCUAUCAUUUUUAAAAUCCACAAACUAAUUCCAACAACUAGACUUCGGUUUGAAAGCAUAAUUUCUCUCAAUCGUGUGCAAAACAUAGUAAAUAUUCUUCCAAAAUCUCUAAAGUAUUUUAGUACAACCAAUAAAGGUUUUAUAAAUACUUUUUGCCAUUAAUUUAUGCAUCACUUGAAAGAAUAAUUGUGCCUUUUUCUUAAAAACAUGUUUUGCCAACUUACUUGCGUCAACCCAACAAAGAAUAUCAUCCAAAUUACAUUGUUUGACAUAUUUUUCCACUGUUAAAAUCCAACCAAAUAUGUAUGUAUAUUUGUGCUUAUAGGAGUCAAUAUGAAAAAUUUUUCACCGUCAAUCAGAUCUUUAUAAUAUUCCAUUAUUUAACAAUUUGUAUACCUGAAUAAAUUUUUUUCCUCCAUCCUGUCAUGUUUUCUUGGCCUCCCUGGUUGACUAACCAAAUUAUUGUUGUAUGUAUACCCAUGCUCGUCAAACCUCAUUCGUGUACACUCGUAAGGAGUGGUUCUGAGCUUAUUGUGAAUGCUCAGUACCAAGAAGUAGAAGAGAGAAUGCAUAAGAGAGAAUUAACUUGGCUAAAGAAUUAGGAAACAAUUGAGGGAUUUUUUAAGAAAUUAAUUCUCCAACUGCCACUUUUGGAAAUUUUCUAUCAACAACUAGUUACCAAAACACUAGCACAUAGUAAGAAAUCUGGAUAAUUUCAGAAACCUCCCUUGAGGCUUUUAAUAAUCUCGAGAAGCUCCCCUCAAUUUUUAAAAUUGCACGUACCAUCCCUAUUGGUGCAAAAGUACUCUACUACCCCUAAUAGGAUACUCAAAAGACUUUUUUUAUGGGAAAAAAGAAGGCCAGAAAUCCAAGCGAAAACAAAAAAAAUCAAUUUAUUUUCUCUUUUAGCCUUUUACGCUUUUGCCUUCUACCUUUGCUCACUUUCCCAUGCCAAUCUUCCUAUAACCACUUUCCCAAUCCCCUUUCCCCAACUUUUCUUCUCUACUUCAAGACCAAUUUUUGUCCAUCAAUCCUGGCUUGUGCUUUGUUCCAUUCCCUUCCCUUCUCCUUCUUUGAUUUCCCCUAUAUCUCCCCUUCUCUUUGCAAAAGUGACUAGGCUCAUCUCUCUCCUUUUUUUCCCCAUAUUUUAAGUGUAGUGGGUUUGAUUAUUUUGCAUCUAUUUUAUUUGAUUUUGGUUGAUUAUGGGUGAUAAAACUUGGUGAUGUCACAUAUUAAAAGUUUGAUAGAUGGAUAUUGGGCUUUAGACAAUGAUUUGCUGAAAAAAAUGGCCGCAAUGAGAGGAAGAGGCAAAGGGAUUUGAGUGUGGGGUUGAUUGUUGAUGAAUUGUUGUUUUGGAAAAAAUUUGAGGUUGAGUUUUAUCAAAUUUGGUAGCAAGUGGCGAGAUUUGUUCAGGUUGCGGGAAAUAAAUUGGUUUGUGGUUUCUUGGGCACCCACAGUCGUUGGAAUUGGUUUUGAUUCAAAUUAGGGUGGUUACUUGAUUUUCCUAAUAGUGUUGCUUAAAAGCACACGAUCAUCAAAAUUCCUUAUUUUUAUCUUUUAUUUUUUUUUUGUAGAAAAGAUUUCAUGACUUUCGUGAUAGUCUAAUUUGGAAGAAGGCAAUCAAGGGAUGCAAUCAACAUUUAGCAAAAGCUCUUGUUCUUUUCUUUGUAAUUUUUAGGGUAAAAAGGGUUGUUUAGGGUAUUUGAAGGAAAUGAUAGUCUAUUGGGUCUAUUUUGAAGCAUAAAUAGUGAACGUAAGGGAGGUUGGUGUUAUUUCUGAAACCUAAGGGAAUUGUCUGAAAUUGUCCGAGACCUCGGAGGAGGUUUUCAAAAUUAUCCGUAAGAAAUCAAAUGCGAAACUUGAUUCGUACACGCACACACGACACCACACCACGUCACGCGUGUGUUGAGGACUGAUGUCCGUAGCCAACGACAAGCAGGUUUUCAAUUUUUUUUUCCUUUCCUGGAUUCAGAGAUGGUGUCAGCUUCUAUUAUUGGUGAGCAGGAGGAAAUCCACAAUAUACAGUACACAUCACCCAUAUUCUUUUUAAUUGAACAAUGUAUGAAAUUAUGGUGAUUCGAAAUUAAAUUAUAUGUUUAUUGGACAACGAAUCCAAAAUAAGAGUUGGAAAUGUAUUGUGACAACAAUUGUUAACUUUGGCCACAAAUGAUCAAAAUAAAUAUUUAAGGUUUAAUAUGACAUUAUGGGUUCAAAAUAUAGUUACUUGUUAUGAAACAACUAAAAGUGCGGAUGCCCAUUUGUAUUCUCAAAAGGAUCAAUUCAUAAUUCAUUGCUCCCAAGAUGAUUAAUUCAUAAUUCAUUGCUACAUUAUGUAAAGAAAUUACAUUGGAUGAAUGGUUUCAAUCCAUAAGAGCUAUUCAUGUAUUGGAUGAACCGUUUCAUAUGGCUAUUCAUGUUCUUGUAGUAAUGAGUGUUUAAUAGAAUUGAUGUACCUUUAAUUUUAUAGUACCUAUACAUAGAGGUACCUGGCACCUCUUCGGUGUACUUUUUGAUUAGUUGGAAUAAUAAGAAAAUCAUUCUCCAUUUCUGUACUCUUUCACUAAUAUUUCAAUUCCUAUUAUAGUAGUUCAUUUUUUUUUAGUUUUACAACACGUUAUCAGUACGAGUCUCUCCUUUUAAACAAAAAGGUGAAAACGGAGCCUCUACCUUAAAAAAAAAGUGAAACACGAGAUUUUGCCGAAAUUCUGCCGUAUUUUUCCAGUAACUUCUGUCUACUUAUUGAGAAAUGGAUGCCAAAUAUUUGGGAUUAAAUGAUGGUGAUGAUGACAUUUGUCUCAUUGAUAGUGCUACUACGCGCACUAUAUUGAAAAAUAAAAAAAUUUUCUUGUAUGAAAAUGGGAGAGACAAAUGUUAAUAUCAUAAGUGGUAGUGCAAAAUUGAUUGAAAGAUUCGGAAGAGCCACUCUAUUUCUUCCUAAAGGGACUAAAAUUGUCGUAAAUAAUGCACUAUUGUCUCCCAAGUCUCGGAGAAAUUUAUUGAGUUUUAAAGAUAUCCGCAAAAACGGAUAUCAUAUUGGGACAAUGAUUGAGACAAAUGGAAAAUUUUUAUUAAUCACAAGUAUCAUUUCUAGACAGAAAUACGUAGUAGAAAAAUUACCUUCUUUUUCUUUUGGCUUAUAUUAUGCACAAAUUAGUGCAAUUGAAAUUUAUCACCUAGUAAACCAAAAGUCUAUUCAUCCCAAUAAUUUUAUCAUUUGGCAUGAUCAUUUCAGAAAUCUUGAAUCUAUAAUGAUGAGACAAAUAAUCGAGAAUUCACAUGGUCACUCAUUGAAAAAUCAAAAGAUAUUAAAAGCAAAUGAAUUCUCCUGUGUUGCUUGUUCCCACGGAAAAUUUAUUAGACCAUCACCAGCUAAAGUUGGGACUGAAUCCCCUACAUUUCUAGAACGAAUUCAUGGUGAUAUAUGUGGAUUAUUUCGAUAAUUUAUGGUGCUAAUUGAUGCAUCAUCUAGAUGGUCACAUGUAUGUUUAUUAUCUACUCCCAACCUGGCGUUUGCGAGUUUGCUUGCUCAAAUAAUUAAAUUGCGAGCACAAUUUUCAGACUAUCCAAUAAAGAAAAUUCAUCUAGAUAAUGCUGGUGAAUAUUCAUCACAUACUUUUGACGAUUAUUGCAUGUCCAUUGGAAUAACUGUUGAACAUCUUGUAACUUAUGUUCACACACAAAAUGGUCUAGCCGAAUCAUUUAUUAAACGGCUACAAUUAAUUGCUAAACCAUUGUUGAUGAGGUUUAAACUACUUUCAUCUGCUUGCGAACAUGCUAUAUUACAUGCAGCAACACUUGUGAGAAUUAGACCGACAAGUUAUCAUACUUAUUUUUCCCUACAAUUAACUUUUGGUUAUGAAUCCAAUAUUUUUCAUUUAAGAAUAUUUGGUUAUUCAGUUUGUGUUCUAAUUGCACCGCCCCGACGUUGUAAAUUGGGCUCGCAAAGAAGAUUGAAAAUAUAUGUCGGGUAUGAAUCACCUCUAAUUAUUAAGUAUAUGGAACCAUUGACAGAUGAUUUAUUUAUUGCGAGAUUUGUAGAUUGUCAUUUUGAUGAAUCAGAUUUUUCAACAUUAGGGGGGAGAUAAAAAUCAACCGAAAAAGGAAAUCACUUUAAAAAUAUCAUUGAAUUUUCUCGAUUCUCGUACAAAAGAAUGUGAACUAGAAAUUCAAAAGAUUAUACAUUUGCAAAAAAUUACAAAUCAAUUACCGGAUGCAUUUAAUGACUCCAGAAGAGUUACUAAAUCACAUAUUCCUAUUGAAAAUGCUCUGAUUAAAAUUAAUAUCCUUGAAGGACAAAUUACAAGUGCUAAUGAGUCUAAAGUGCGCCUGAAGCGUGGGAGAUUUCUUGGUUCCAAAGAUAAAAAUUUUCGAAAGAAAAGAGGAGUACAUGAAUCAACAAUUAAUGACAAAAUUUAACCUCCUGAAGAGAUCGCUCCUAAAGAGCCAAUUCUUGAAGAGAAUAAAAUCAUAGAAAAUUCAAUAAAUUUUGUCACUUCAGGGAAAAGUUGGAACCGAAAAGAAAUAAUUAUUGAUAGUAUUUUUGUAUAUAAUGUAGCACUUGAUAUUAUGGUAGAGAAUGGGGAUUACGAGCCUAAAUCGAUUGAUGAAUGUCGACGUAGAAAUGAUUGGCCAAAAUGAAAAGAUGCGAUCCAAUUUGAAUUGGACUCACUGGUUAAAAGAAAAGUUUUUGGACCUGUAGUCCAAACACCUGAAGGUGUGAAGCCAGUAGGAUAUAAAUGGGUAUUUGUGAAAAAAAAAUGAGAAAAAUGAAAUCGUGAGGUAUAAAUUAAUACUUGUAGCCAAAGGAAUUUCACAAAGGCCUGGAUUUGAUUAUGAUUACACGUAUUCACUUGUAGUGGAUGCUAUCACAUUUAGAUAUCUUGUGAGUUUUGCAGUACAUGAAAAAUCAGAUAUGCAUCUAAUGGACGUCGUUACUGCAUAUUUAUAUGAAAAUCUUGAAAAUGAUAUUUAUAUGAGAAUUCCCGAAGGAUUCAAUAUGCCUGAAACAUGCAAAUCAAAUCUUAAAAAUAUUUAUUUAAUUAAAUUACAAAAGUCUUUGUAUGGAUUCAAACAAUCUGAACGUAUGUGGUACCGCCUUAAUGAAUGUUUAACUAAAGAAGGCUAUACCAAUGAUCCAAUAUGUCCAUGUGUCUUUAUCAAGAAAAAUGGAUCAAAUUUUGUGAUAAUUGUUGUAUAUGUUGAUGAUCUAAAUAUGAUUGGAACACCUGAAAAGAUUCAAAAUAGUGUUGAAUAUUUGAAAAAAAAUUUGAGAUCAAAGAUUUUGGAAAAAUAAAAUUUUUCCUUGGUUUACAAAUUGAGCAUUUGAAAAGUGGAAUUUUGUCCACCAAACUGCUUAUACCCGGAAGGUAUUAAAGCGAUUUUAUAUGGAUAAGUCACAUACAUUAAGUAUUCCAAUGGUCAGAUCAUUAGAUCCUAAUAAGGACCCUUUUAGACCGCGAGAGGAAGAUGAAGAGAUACUUGGUCCUAAAGUACCAUAUCUCAGUGCAAUUGGUGCACUACUGUAUCUUGCUAAUUGUACAAGACUUGAUAUAUCAUUUACAAUAAAUUUAUUAGCAAGAUUUAUUUCCUCGCCCACAAGACGACAUUGGAAUGGUAUUAAACAUAUUUUUCGUUAUCUUUAAGGAACAAAUUGAUCUUGGCUUAUUUUAUUCAAAUAAAUCUAAACUUGAAUUGCUUGGUUAUGUUGAUGUUGGAUAUUUAUCUGAUUUGCAUAAAGCAAGAUCUCAGACUGGUUAUCUAUUUACAUAUGGAGGUACAACCAUUUCUUGGCGAUCUAGAAAGCAAUUAUUAGCCGCCACUUCAUCGAAUCAUGCUAAAAUAAUAGCAAUUCAUGAGGCUAGUCGAGAAUGUGUUUCGUUAAGAUCAAUGACCUACUAUAUCCGGAAGAGUUGUGGGUUAUCCUCUGAAAAAGAAAAUCCUCCGACUAUAUUUUAUGAAGAUAAUGCAGCUUGUAUAGCUCAAUUGAAAGGAGAAUAUAUUAAAGGAGAUAGAACGAAAUAUAUUUCACCAAAAUUCUUUUUUACUCAUGAUUUACAAAAGAAUGGUGAAAUUGUUGUGCAACAAAUCCGAUCAGAUAAUAAUUUGAUAGAUUUAUUUACUAAUGUAUUGCCGACUGCAAUAUUUGAGAAAUUGGUGAAGAAUAUUGGAAUGCGACGACUAUAAAAUCUCAAAUGAUAUUUGCAUCAGGGGGAGAAAUCAAUACACAAGAAUAGUGUACUCUUUUUUUUUCACUAGAGUUUUUGUCCCGUUGGAUUUUUUCCUAGUAAGGUUUUAAUAAGACAUAUUCUUUGUGUAAUUAAUAUCCAAUGGGGAGUGUUAUGAAAUAACUAAAAGUGUGGAUGUCCAUUUGUAUUCUCAAGAAGAUCAAUUCAUAAUUCAUUGCUCCCAAGAGAAUUAAUUCAUAAUUUAUUGCUACAUUAUGUAAAGGAAUUACAUUGGAUGAUCGGUUUCAAUCCAUAAGAGCUAUUCAUGUAUUGGAUGAACCAUUUCAUAUGGCUAUUCAUGUUCUUGUAGUAACGAGUGUUUAAUAGAAUUGAUGUACCUUUAAUUUUGUAGUACCUAUAUAUAGAUGUACCUUAGCUGAUAGGUUGCAAUUUUAUCAUUUAUUUUAUAAUUAAUUUCUCCUAUUACCUGACUUGAUGUGGAUUAAUUGCGGGAUUCUACUCACUUUUAGUAUUUUGCAUUUAUUUCAGGGAGUAGAGCGAAAAUAUAAUAACAGGUGCUAAUUUGACAAAAAAAGAGUCCAAGGCACAGAGCUUAUCCCGGGGGCAUUAUUGGCAAAGGAAGACUUUUGCCCAUUUUGGUAAUUUCAAAAGAAGAGAGCAGGGCAGAGGCCUCUAUUUUACUGGAGGCUGGAGCGCCGCACAAAGGGAGCUUCUUCUUCCUUCGGAGGCUCCGUCCUCUCCGCAAGGGGGCUGCCGCACACAGCAGCCAUUAGAAUAGGAGCAAUUGAUAUAUGACAGAGAAUGAGCACUAGCACCAGGGAGUUGCCUUUGUUGACUUUUCUUCCCUUUUAGUUCUUAGUAGUUGUUUUACCUUCCUCGUACGUAGGACCUUUAGCAUAGUUUCCUUUUGACUUUCCCUUGAGUCUUGGGUGGAUGUCUCCUGCGCAUGUCAGGAGCAAUUGAAGGUCUCGGUCACUUUCUGUAUUCUUCCAUCAACUGAGCGAACUGAGCUCCCUUGGUCAAGGGCAAUGGCUGCGGCUUCCUCUCCAACUUUGUGUGGGAUUCGUUCACCAGGAAUGAACUAAUUUUUCUUUUCUAGUCAAGGAACAACGGAGGUCUUGGUUGGCCUAAAUUUGUGAGAUCGAAUUAGUUUUUAUUUAUUUCCAUUAUUCACUGGUAUUUGUCUAUCUUCUGCUUUAUGUUCAUAUGGUUGUUUUAUUAUUCGAUUAUCCAGGGCCCGGAUACUAGAUUAAUUCAAUAACCUGAAGCCAAUUAGGAUAGUUAAAUCCGUAAUUGUUUAAUUAUUCUAAACUGCUGGCAACUGGCAUGAUUGGGUUUGUGUCAGGGGGAUAAACAUGCUAACUUAAAGAGACCCUCGUAGCGUGUUGAUUGGUUAGAAUUAGGCUCUUCUAAUUAUUCAUGCAAUUAGGGAAUUGAACUUCUAUGGUCGUACCUAGGGUUAUUUCCUGAUUAGAGAAAUAGUCAACGGUCGUACCUUGGCUAUCGACAAAUUGAGGAAGAGUUGGUUGUUUAUCGCGUGUAUGGCAACUAUAACUAAUUUAUCAGAUAGUAACUGGAAUAAUCCUUGCAUCUGUGAUCGAAUUAAGUGAACCAUCUCCGAAGUUGUCUCUUGGCUAGAGUUCGUCAAUUAUUAUUUUUAUUGUGAUAAUUAGUUAUUUGAGUUGUAGUUAUUUUAUUUUAUUUAUUCCAAGUAAUUUAGUUACUCUCAUUUUCAAAAACCCCCCAUAUCUGGAACUUGAGAAGAAAUUAAAUUAUCCCCAGUCCCUGUGGAUUCGACCCUGCUCACCGCUAUAUACAGAAUUUGUAUUUUAUUUGAGCAGGUAUUUAUUAUUGCACAGGUUCGGCACCUGUCAAUUUUUUGCUACAUUAUGUAAAGGAAUUACAUUGGAUGAUCGGUUUCAAUCCAUAAGAGCUAUUCAUGUAUUGGAUGAACCAUUUCAUAUGGCUAUUCAUGUUCUUGUAGUAACGAGUGUUUAAUAGAAUUGAUGUACCUUUAAUUUUGUAGUACCUAUAUAUAGAUGUACCUUAGCACCUCUUGGGUGUACUUUUUGAUUAGUUGGAAUAAUAAAAAAAUCAUUCUCCAUUUCUGUACUUCUUUCUCUAAUAUUUCAAUUCCUAUCACAGUAGUUAUUUUUUUUUAGCUUUACAACAUUACUUAAAUAAGAGAGUUAUUGGACUAUAUGUUUAUUGACCUCUACUAACUUAUUUAAGGUCAUUUCAUAUCACUAUCCAAAGAAGAAUUAAGGUCAUUUCAUAUCACUAUCCAAAGAACAAUUCUUGGGCGCUAACAUUUUUCUUACAUGACUAUUAAUGAAAGUUGACCCAAAUCUCUCUGUCUCUCUCUUUCUUUCAAUUCUUAGGACUGAUGCCAAUUCUUACCAUUUAGAAAGAAAAAUUAGAUUGUUUAUAUAUAUGAUGAGUUCCCUCUAAGUCAUGGUUAAGAAAAAUUCUUAGUUAAACGCAGUUUUAUGAAAUGUGAAUUUCCUUUUCUUUGUCUUUAUUCAUUAGUAUUAUUGGGGUUAUUGUAUUAUGAUUGCAAUGCACAGAUACAUGGAUUUUUGACAUUUUUUCUUUUUAAUUGACUCUGACUAUGCCUCAAACUCGAGACAUCAAACCUGGACACGACUUUUGUCCAAAAUGCUUGUAAAAAUUCAGAAGAAUAAUUUUGGACCUUAUUAUUUGAUAAUGGUACAAUUAUGAGAGUCAUUCCAGGUUAAUUAUCAAACUUGGAACUUGAAAAUAAUGUCGACAUCAUGUCAUUAUUAUUUUUUAGUUUCAUAGAAAAAUGAAGUAUUCUCCAACUCGACAUUAUCAUAGUAUUUUCAAUUGGCAGCUCAUGUGAGAAAGACAAGAAAUUCACAAUCAACUGGCCAAGAGAGUGCCAACAAAGAAAGCACUAAAUGGCUUAAACAAUGCAUGCAAAUUUGCUUGGCACUUAAACAAUAGACACCUAAAUCAACCAUGUCACUGUCUUGCCAAAAAAGGGCAUUAAAGUAAAAACAACUCAUGCCUACCACAGGUAACAAACUUCAGCACCUUCACUUCACUACCAUGUCAGCAACAACAUUUGCAAAUUUCCAAGGAAGUCCACGCACUAAAGGUGCCCAUGCCCUUAGGGGACCUCAGGUUAGUGUUCUUAACCUCAACUCCUGUCUUUCUGUUCUUAGGAAAUAUUGAAAUUAAACGUUAUAACUAAUCCUGAUUUCCUUGUGCUAUAUUUGUACACAAUUUGGCAACAAGGGUAAAAAAAAAUAAAAAUAAAAAGGUUUAUCUGCAAACUGUAGUUCGGCCUGGCUCUUUUUUUUUUUUUUUUUUUUGGGGAUAAGAUCAUCUCAGCACCCGCAGACCCCGUCAUGUAUCAAUAUUUCUGUACUUAGCAUUGGCUUCUUCUCGCCUGAAGAACACACGAACCACCGAAAUAGAUGGUGCAUGAAAGUGCACUUAACCCUUUUAAUUUUUCAAAACAAUCUUUUAGAAAAAAUAAUAAAAACUUUUUGAAUUUAAUUUUAGAGAAGAAGAAUUUUAAAAUUUUUUGAAUUUAAUCUUAGAGAAGAAGAAGUUUAAAAUGUACUUUAAUUUUCACAACUGAUGAUGAAAAUAGCAAAAUGUACACGGAUAGUGACAAAAGUGGGAUCACGGGCAGGAAAUCCUGAAGGUUGCGUGCAUUUUACACACGGCAUAAUUCUGUUUGUAUAUAGUGUAAUUUACUUUUUACAACGUGUAAUUUUAAAACAAAAUUUUGUAAGUCUCACACAUUUUAUUAAAAAUAAGGUACAAGAUGAAAUUUGGACCAUAUAAUUUUUUUUAAUCAAAUCUUGACCGUGAACUGCUCAGAAACGGUUUACCUGAUGACCGUCCCUGGUCCAAACCCGACAAAGGUGCCAUCUUAUCCUUUUACUGACUGGCCCGUUUUCCAAUGAGAGGGCCCAGAAGGGGUGCCUCUGCUUCAUAGUUUAUCCAUAUUGAUAUUUCUUUUCUGUCCCCCUAACUAUUAAAUGUGAAAGGUUGCCCACCAAAUUUGACGAAACCGUUUAUCCUAAUUGAUUAUUAUCAAUAGGGCAUAACUUUAAUAUUCUUCUUCCAACCCUUUCUGGUGAUUCCUGCAACUCCAGCCGUCCGUCAAUGACCAUAAAGCACCAUUAACCGACAACUAACUAACCACUAUUAAUCUAUUCUCAAAUUUUAAUGAAAUUGCACAAUCUAUUCUCAAAUCAAAUUUGAACAACAUUUUAUAGUCGAUAACUUUGAAACUUGAUAAAAAAGUCUGUUUAAACUCGGUUUAGUAAAUAAACAAAUCAAGUUUGAACAAAAUUUUAAACUCAUUAAAAUAAUUAAACACGUUUGAAUAUUAGGGUAUUCGAUUUAAUUAGACACGUUUGUAUCCCUAAUUAAAGCAUGCACUUUUAUAAGUUUAGGAAUCAACAUUAUACAUUUAAUAGCUAGCUAGAGGGUCAAAAAGUUAAUUGCCUUAAAUUCUUUUAGCAGCCAUAAGGUACAGUUGGAGGGAUUCCCUUGAAAUUGGUUAGAUUCUUCUAUGUGACUAAAGAAUUUCGGGUGUGACGCAUUACUAGUCCUACCCUAAAAAAAAAUGGUAUUACUAGUCCUUUUUUUCUUUUUUGGCGUGCCCCCGUCGUGGGAUGUGGGGAGGGGAGUCUGUGCGAGAAUUCUAGGUCGGGGUACAAGGAGCCAAAGUUCACCUUAUUCAAAGUAAACAACCGUCCAUCUCAGUUGUCGACUUUCCUGUCGAUUGCGUAUAUAUAUAUAUUACUAUCUUUUACCAUGACUUUAGAGGAUAGCUAAUUUUGCUUGCUAUUAAAUAAUAAUUUCGGUAGUCUAUAAAUACUCUUGUUCCUCACCGCUCCUAGCACCACAUAAUUCCUUCAAGAACAGCCAAAACCUUCUUGAAAUCCCUCUUUUUCCUUCUAGUUCAUUUCCAAGAAACAAAUGGCCCCUGUCACUUCCAGUUAUGAGGUCACCUCCUCAAUCCCUCCUGCAAGGUUGUUCAAGGCCACCAUCCUCGAAGAGAAGCAUCUUCACAAGAUCUUGCCACAGGGCGUUAAGAGUGUCGAAAUCCUUGAAGGAGAUGGUGGAGUUGGCACAAUUAAGUUGACCACAUUUGUUGACGGUAAGAUAAUCAAUACAAAGUGAUUAUUUUCACACAUUUGAAGUCUUCAAAUUUUUCUCUUUUUUUCCCUUUUAUUUGGGAAAAACUAAUGACUUUUUUUUUUUGGUUGGGUUAAAUAUUUAGGUGGCGAGCAUAAGACUGCCAAACAGAGAGUUGAUGGAAUUGACAAAGAAAAAUUUACAUACAGCUAUACUGUACUUGAAGCUGAUGGAUUUAACGAUGUAAUCGAGAAAAUCUGUUGUGUCAUCAAAUUUGAACCCUCUGCUGAUGGAGGUUCAAUCUGCAAAACCACUAACACAUACUACCCCAAAGGUGGUGCUCAGAUCAGUGAGGAACACCUCAAGGGAGGAAAAGAGAUGGGUUUGGGAAUGGUUAAGGCUGUUGAGGCAUACCUCCAUGCAAAUCCUACUGCCUACAACUAAUUAUAAUGAAUGCUACUGCAAGGACUCUUCGACAUAUUUUCUUCAAGAUUGAAGUAUAAACUGAGGGUGUCUGUUUCCUUUUUUGCUUGGUUUGCUUAAGCUGUUUGGUUAAGUUAUUCGCAGCAAGAGAAUAAAAUAAUUCAUUUGCUGUUUUUAGAUAUGAAUUCAUGACUGUCAGUAGUCUAUAAAUACACUUAUUGCUCACCACUCUUUGCACCGCAAAAUCUUUUCAAGAUCCAUCAAACCCUCCUGUUCUUGAUCUUUCUCCAUUUGUGAAAAAACAAAUUAAAGCAUCAUGGCCCCUAUCACUUGUAGUGCUGAGAUGACCUCCCCAAUGCCUCCUGCAAGGUUGUUCAAGGCCGCCAUCCUUGAUGACCACCUUCUUCCCAAGAUCAUGCCACAGGCUAUUAAAAGUGGAAAUUCUUGAAGGAGAUGGUGGAGUUUGAACCAUUAAGUUGAGCACAUUUGGUGACGGUUAGAUGUUAUAUUAAAUGUAGAACCCAAAUUUUAAGGAUCUAAUAAUAAUCAAUUAAUAAUAAUCAAUGCGUGCAGGGUUACAGAAUUGGAGGGAUAAAACAAAUACUCAAAUAAAUGUGGAAGAAAAGAAAAUAAUAAAUUCAACUCACAAAAUUAUUGAAAUUUCAAACAAUGAAAAAAAUCAUACCUUAAUAAAUUCAGUUGGUUUUAAUAAUAAUCAAAGCAUACAAGGUUAAAGAAUUAAAAGGAUAAAACAAACACUCAAAAUAUAUGUGGGAGAGAAGAAAAUAAUAAAUUCAACACACAAUAUUAUUGAAAUCUCAAACAAUGAAAAAAGUCACACCAUAAUAGAAAAUCUUGCAAAUUCUUCUAGAUUCUUUCUCUUGAGAAACCAACCUAAAUAAUGUUCUAUUUAUAAUCUACCAAACUUGUUAGGAAAGAAACCACUUGCAUAAGAAAUUACCAAAUAAAACAGAAAUUCCUAAAUCACACAACUACUAAAAACAUAACUCAAAUAAAACUAAAAAAUAAAUAAAUUUUUCUUGGCUUAGUUUAAUUUGUUAACAUUGCCUCCCUUAAACCAAACUAUCCAUUGAGAUAUGUUCAACACCAUCUCGAGUAACAAUUUCUAUGCAAAUCUAUGUUGUAGUAUACUUGACAUGAAACUCUAACUUGUUACCAGUUAUUAAUUUCAUCUUUACACGUAACAGUGGACGUACUAUGUAUUUUGUAAAAAAUUUCUCAACAAUUUCUUCUUGAUCAAAGUACUCAUUUAUACAAACCCAUUCAUCACCAGAAUCAUCAUAUUUACCACCAAUGUAAGUUCCUAAAAAUACAAAAUCAUUGCUUGCUUUCUCGCUAAAAUUAUCAUAACCAAAUAAUUUAAAAUAGCCACUACUACAAUCAUCCAAAAUUUUCAUACUGUCAGUCAACUCUUUUGGAGUAAAAUAUUUUUCAACUAUAAUGACAUCCAUAUCUAUCAAAUCAAGCAUUCUCCCAUCACUUUGAAGAAAGUCCGAACCAACGAAUUUUUCAACAACAAUUUCAUGAUCUCUUCUCUUAUCAAGUCAAAAUUUUCUUCUUCUUUUGUCAAAUUACCAUAUUAUUGUUUCAACAAAUUCAUUACUUCUAAUUUCUCCAAACAAGGUACGCAAAUCAAAACUAUCAAUUGAUUCAAAAUUUUCGAUAUCACCCAUAUUAUCAACAAAUCUAUCAUUUUUAAAAUCCACAAACCAAUACCAACAACUAGACUUCGGUUUGAAAGCAUAAUUUCUCUCAAUCGUGUGCAAAACAAAGUAAAUAUCCUUCCAAAAUCUCUAAAGUAUUUUAGUAUGACCAAUAAAGGUUUUAUAAAUACUUUCUGCCAUUAUUUUACACAUCACUUGAAAGAAUAAUUGUGCUUUUUUUCUUAAAAACAUGUUUUGCCAACUUACUUGCAUCAACCCAACAAAGAAUAUCAUCCAAAUUACAUUGUUUGAGAUAUUUUUCCACUGUUAAAAUUCAGCCAAAAUAUGUAUGUCUAUUUGUGUUUAUAGGAGUCAAUAUGGAAAAUUUUUCACCAUCAAUCAGAUCUUUAUAAUAUUCCAUUAUUUAACAAUUUGUAUACCUGAAUAAAUUUUUUUCCUCCAUCCUGUCAUGUUUUCUUGGCCUCCUUGGUUGACUGACCAAAUUAUUGUUGUAUGUAUACCCAUGCUUGUCAAACCUCAUUCGUGUACACUCGUAAGGAGUGGUUUUGAGCUUACUGUGAAUGCUUAAUACCAAGAAGUAGAAGAGAGAAUGCAUAAGAGAGAAUUAACUUGGCUAAAGAAUUGGGAAGCAAUUUAGGGAUUUUUUAAGAAAUUAAUUCUCCAACCGCCACUUUUGGAAAUUUCUAUCAACAACUAGUUACCAAAACACUAGGACAGCGAUCCGUCUCUAUUUUACUCUUCAAGUCUUCGCCGGGGAAGCAACCCGGCCUUGCGAGACUAUAAUGAAUAGGCACUUGCCUUCUGUUUUUACUUUUUUUUUGUUCAAAGACUAUAAUGCCCUUAUUAUUUGACUGCGCAUCUCGCAAGAUAAUGCUUUCCAUCAAAAUUAACUGUUGGGUUUGACAGAAGCGCCACGAAUAUUCUAUUUUAUUAGAUCCAGAGUCAAAAUUUUACCGUUAAUUGUUAGAGGGUUAAAACUUUAUCUGGAAAGGAGUUGGAGGGCCAUUGGAACUCUUUUUCCAAAAAAAAAAAAAAGUCACUUUUGUCAUUUGUCCAAGAACAGUUCUGGGGCCAUCUCGACAGUAUAUAUUUUUCUUACAUGCCAAGACAAUUAAUGAAAAUUGACCAAUAACACACGCACACACACACACACACACACACACUCUCUCUCUCUCUCUCUCUCUCUCUCGGUUGCUGCCAAGUCUUUCCAUUGAAAAAGGAAAAUUCAUAUUGUUUACAUAGAUAAAUUACCUCCAGUCCGUGGAAUGUCUUGAUGUUAGGUGAGUUCUAAUAUUUUGGUAUCAUCUAGAGGUGGCAAAUCAACCCACUUAACUAAAUUUACCCAUAUCCGCCCAUGAAUAGAUGGGUAUGGAUAUCUUAAAUUUUUGUAUAUGAGUAUAAAUGGGUUACCCAAUAAUACCCAUUUAAAUGGGUAACCCAUCAAACCCAAUUAACCCAUUUAGAAUUCUCUUCCCCUCAAGUCUCUUCUUUUCCCCCACCUUUUUUUUUUUCAAAUUUUUCAUUUUGUCAUGAUGUUAACUACUUUUGUUUUAUUAUUAUUAUUUGUUGGUUUUAUCUUAUUAUUUUAUUUUCUCUUAGUUUGUUAACUUACUCAUUUUUUACCAUUACCAAUUUAUGAUAAAUUUUAGCCUAUUUUCUUAUCUUUAUAAAAUGAAAUUUUAAAUUUAUAUAUGAAAAAAAUGUUAGGGGUUCAAAAAUUUUGGAUUAAGUUUUUAUAUUAAUUUUUAUAGUACUUAGUUCAAAAUUUUAUAUUCUUAUUAUUCAAUUAUUAAAUAAUAGGUAAUUUUGUGACAUAGAGUAUAAAUGAAAAAAAAUUGGUAAUUAAGUUUAUUGAACAUUAUAAGUAAAUAUUUAAAACUAAUGAUGGGUAUAAAGAGUGAUAUAAAUUGAUAACUUAGUUUGCAAAAAUGAAUUUAAAUGAGUUUGCAAAAAGUUAAAAUAAAUGGGUUAUAAAUGGGUAAUUGGGUUACCCAAUUCAUUUUUUGACUUGCCUAUUUAUACCCAUAUAAUUAAAUGGGUAUAAAUGAGUUGACUCACUUAUACCCAUUACCCAUUUUACCCAACUCAAACCCGCCCAAGUCACCCAUUUUGACACCUUUAGUAUCAUCUAAUGUUCAUUUGUGAAAGAUUGAGAAAUGAUAAAGAGCAAAACACCAAUUUAUUCCAUAAAUUAUUUUGCUAAAAUCAAAAUAGUCCAUAAAUUUUCUUUUGGCCAAAUUUUUGUCAUGAACUUUCAGAAACGGUUGCAGGGGAUUUCAUCCGGAUUGCUUGUGCAGUUGAGUAACUAUACAGAAAUUCUUUUUGGGAUGCUGAGUAUCUUAGGAUGGGUACAAUGAUCGCUUAGAUCAGUAGAGAUGAUUGAUGAUGUAGUAGGGGAAGAUUCCCUUUAUAAAGCUGAUUUUCUCAUGAUUAAUAAGAAUAUAAAUGUUACCAAAUUUUCUUUUCAAAUGUGUAACGAAAAUAUUGGCCAUGAUCAGCAAGACCUCCUUAAUUAUAAAAGUUUCUUGAAUGUCAUCAUCCAAUUUGUUUAAGCGAGGAUUUUUAAAUGCUAUCUUUAAGCAAAUUGAUUUUUGUAUUAUAGAUACUUACUACUAUUACUUCAUACCUAGCUACAAACCUCAUGUAUGUUUUAGUUUUAAUCCAGAACAAAUCAGGGCCACGGGCCACCUUGCACAUAGCGAGAGUGGAAAAAUAAAACUACACAAUUGCUUUUUUGAAGCCAGUGACUCAACUGAUUUUGCGCUCGGCAAUUCAUCCGAUUUUCAUUAAAAGGGCCCUAAGAGGCCAUUGGCGUUUUGGGCCUGUGAAAAUUUGGAUGAUUUGGUGUGUCCAAUGCAUGUGUAAGCACAAAUUUUGUUGUCUAAAAUAAAAGACAAGAAAACUUACAUAAAUAUCAAAUUUAUUAAAUUAAAUAACAAGAGGGUUACAAUAUUUGAAAAUUUUUGAAUCAAAGAAAUUAAUCUCCUAAUUUUUAUCUUCAAAAGGCUUUAAUCGGAAGGCCAAAAAGGCUUGUUCUCCGAUCAAGAGGGUGUUUUCUAUGAUUUCUAUGUAAAAAACGGCUGCUUUGAUGAUGACGUUAAUAUUUGAAUCUUUAAAUCUUCAACGCCGAUGGAAGGAGGAUUUAUUUAACUUAAUUUGGAUUUGGAUUUGAAUUUGAGGGAAAAAGCUCUCAAGAGAAUUUGACAAAGUUACUUUGAAAUUUAGGAAUUUUAAUGUAUUUUUGCCUUGAGGGAAGACCUUUAUUUAGAGUCAACAUAUGCAAGCUAUGUCUUCAAGAGAAUCCUUCAAAACCAUCUUGCGUUUGGGUAACUUGUACCUUAAGAAACCCAUUUAACUUGGAGUUAAAUAGUCGGCCGACCCAAAUAGUCAAUUGUGAAUUAACAAAUCAAUUAAAUCACUUUAAUUUAAAUGGGCAUCACAUUUUUUAUUUGAUUUAAUAGCUCAUAUAACAUUGGCUCAAUUUGUCAAUCCAAAACAUAAUGAACUUCUAUAAUUUAAUUUAAUUUAAUAAAAAUCAAUUUAAUUUACUUAAUCUUGCCUAAAAAUAAAUUAAAUAAAUUUUCGUUGUCUAUGUCCCCACUUCAAAACUUGGCAAGGCAUUGCAUGUUUAUUUGAAUUAACUUAAAACUUCUUAAUACGAUUCAUCUAAGCACCUUUAUAUAUAUAUAUAUAUAUAUAUAUAUAUAUAUAUAUAUAUUUAUUUAUUUAUUUAUAUAUAGAGGUACAGAAGACAUGUCUUUGUCUUGAAACUGUGACAAACAGGACACUUAAGACAAGGGCGUGUGAAGACUAUCGCACUAUUUGAGCGAAAAAAACCUGUUUUGCACGUAUAUUUUGAAGGUAAUCAUCUUUAUUGUCUUUUGACAACUUCAUGUUGGUCGAGUAUCAGAUAUUCACCAAAUUUUGUUGAAAUUUGUCAAAACUUGAUUUGUUUCCAAUUUGGAGAAAAAAAAAGAUUUUUUUCUUCGUUUCUGCAAUUUUCCAGGUCACUCUUUCCUAUCAACAUGUUACGAUUCAGAAAUUGAGACAAAUCUUGUACAUAGGAAUCUUUUUUAACAGCUGAUGGUUGGAAUUUAGCAGACACCUUGAAGUCAAAGAAGGCAAAUAGCAUUCCAAUAGCAUUAUUUGGUUGCAUGCCAUAUCCAAGAUUUUCACUAGUAAGCCACCAUUUUCUUGCUUUUGAUUGUUAUUCAUUCUCUGUUGCGCAAUUUUAUUUUCGCACAAUCUAUUUUUUUCGUUGAAUUUUCUCUUUUGCAAAACAGCGACCACCAAGGAAAGACAGAAAGAUUUUUUUGUUUUUGUUUUUGUUUUUGUUUUUGUUUUUUUUUUUAUGGUUGCACCUUGUGUUGGCACCCCUUAUUUGAAGCAAGUUGAUGUUCCAGUUGUGUUGGGGAUUUUAGGGCCAUAGCUCUUAGAACUCAAAAUACUAAUGUAAUUUCCGCACUCCAUGACAUUUACUUCUUGUCAAUGCCAAACUCUCCUCUUUUUUUUUGUGAUAUGAAAGGAAGAUCUCUCGUUGCAACAUAUAUGGUGGACACUCAAUUUGAAAGAAGGUGCAACCACCAACUUGCACGAGAGCCAUAUCAUGGUUUGAGGAGUAUAAUGAAAAUGAUGCAACUGCAAACUCUUAUGAGAGCCAUAUCAUGGUUGAGAAGUACAAUGAAGAUAGUGCAAUCAAAAAUUUGAAAAAGGUGCAAUCGCAAACUCCCAUGAGAGCCUAUCAUGGAUUGAGGAGUACAACGAAGAAUGUGCCACAAAAAGUUGAAAAAUGUGCAAUCGCAAACUCGCACGAGAGCCUAUCAUGGUUUGAGGAGUACAAUGAAGAAGGUGCAACUACCCACUUCAAUGAGAGCUUACCAAAACUCGAGAAGCCCUUUCAUUUAACUUCACAUUGACUAUUUAUUACUUCUCUCACUGUCUUCGAUCACACCAUUGUAAUCAAAUUUUUUUCUCUUGCUUUUGGUCCUAACGAAAUGGUGAUGGUCAAGGAAGUUACAUCUUCAAACAAAAGGCACCUCCUUAUCACUAAUAGCCAUGAUGACUCUGCUGACAAAGGAACGAAAUUAUUGGUGCAUCCCUCUAUACAAGAAAUUUACUCUGGUGAUUGGUUUUCUCACAAGUAUUCCGAAUUAAAGGAUUGGUCACUAAAAUUUUCUCAAGAUGAUGGUACGAAAGUUCACUCCUUGAAAUUCCUUAUCAUAAUAAGGAGCCAAGGACAAUUGGCAGGCGAAUCCUAGAUGAGACUAAGGGUGCAAACGAGGCAAGUCGAAUCGAGUUUUGAAGUUAUUGAGUCGAGUUACACUUAUUUAUAUGCGAGCUCGAGUUCGAGGUCGAAAAAUAGAGCUCGAACUCGGCUCGAUGUAGGAAAAGGAAAACUCGAGAUCGACUCGCUUAUGGCUCGCGAGUUUAGCUCGAAUUCUGGCUCGCGAGCAGCUCGAGUUUUGCUAGAUUUUCUGGCUCGCAUGAAGCUCGAAGUCAGCUCGAUUCUAGCUCGUUAGGAGCUCCAGUUCGAACUCGAAAACAGCUCGAUUUUCUGGAAAUUUAUGCAAGAAAACAGAAUUUUUGUCCGCAUAUUUUUGAUAAAAUUUGAGCAUGAUAACAAUAAGUUUUCACAUAUUCUUGAUCUUGAGGCCUACAAAUUAUGCACUAAUACAAUCAUAAAUGUCCAAAUGUCCACUAAUACAAAUUAUCCAAAUGUCCACAAAUGUCCACUAAUACAAAUUAUCCAAAUGUCCACAAGAAGUCUGAAGAAUACCAGCUUGUUGUCCACAAAAACCAAGGCAUGACAUGAAGCGAGAAUUUCCUGACUGCGUCCUGGAACUUUACUCAUUUCUGUCUCUAAUUCCUCAUGAUCAGUUAGUCCACCAACAUUGAACAAUAUGGAUCAGGAAUGGGGAAAAAUCACUUUCUAACACUCAAGAUCACAUACAACUCAUAUCCAACAAAUAUCCUGAAGUUUCAUGAGUAUAAUCACAUUAAAAGAGAAAAGGAUACUGACAAGCAUGCUAAUCAAACUCAAGCAGAAAAGGUACUUUCUCCUUGCCGUCUCCGACAUCCCAGCCAGCAAAUGGCUGGGGUUCGUGACAGCUGUUUGGGUCCAAUCCAUCUCCGGCAACAACUAUACCUUCUCCAAUUACUCCGACGCCCUCAAAUCACUCAUGGCCCUCACUCAGCUCCAACUCAACAACCUCUCCGUCGCCAAUUGAUGUCAUUAAAGCAGAAAAUCGGCCUGAUGGCCUCCACCAGCUGCCAUCCCUAAUCCAAGAAGGUCGAGUGUAGUAUGCUUAGGACCAAAUACAGAUGGAGUUCCCAACAUCAGUUCCUUCAAGCUAGACCCACCAUCACACGGCAGCCCUAGUCCUAGGCCUACUACCAAUGAUGCACUAUCAGACUCAAUUGCCCUCCCACUCUUCGCCCGGAAAGACAGUGGUGAAAAGAGGUAAGGAGGUGGCGGCAAAGAGCGACGGGUUAGCCAAAGUUAGAAGAUCCUCUUUUUCUAGAUUUGCAAGUUUCCUACUCUAGAGACAAAAAUGUCCUUGAUAUUUGGUCGUGCAUCUUACAAGAUAAUGCUUUCCGUCAAUUUUAACCGUUGGAUUUGACGGAAGGGCCAUGAAUAUGCUAUUUUAUUAGAUCGAGAGCCAAAAUUUUACCGUUAAUUGUUGGAGGGUUAAAACUUUAUCUGGAAAAGAGUUGGAGGGCCAUUGGAACUCUUUUUCCAAAAAAAAAAAGUCACUUUUGUCAUUUGUCCGAGAACAGUUCAGGGGCCAUCUCGACAGUAUAUAUUUUUCUUACAUGCCAAGACAAUUAAUGAAAAUUGACCAAUAACACACGCACACACACGCGCACGCACACACACACACACUCUCUCUCUCUCGGUUGCUGCCAAGUCUUUCCACUGAAAAGGAAAAUUCAUAUUGUUUACAUAGAUAAAUUACCUCCAGUCCGUGGAAUGUCUUGAUGUUAGGUGAGUUCCAAUAUUUUGGUAUCAUCUAAUGUUCAUUUGUGAAAGAUUGAGAAAUGAUAAAGAGCAAAACACCAAUUUAUUCCAUAAAUUAUUUUGCUAAAAUCAAAAUAGUCCAUAAAUUUUCUUUUGGCCAAAUUUUUGUCAUGAACUUUCAGAAACGGUUGCUUCCUGCAACCGUUGGUGAGGGAUUUCAUCCGGAUUGCUUGUGCAGUUGAGUAACUAUACAGAAAUUCUUUUUGGGAUGCUGAGUAUCUUAGGGUGGGUACAAUGAUCGCUUAGAUCAGUAGAGAUGAUUGAUGAUGUAGUAGGGGAAGAUUCCCUUUAUAAAGCUGAUUUUCUCAUGAUUAAUAAGAAUAUAAAUGUUACCAAAUUUUCUUUUCAAAUGUGUAACGAAAAUAUUGGCCAUGAUCAGCAAGACCUCCUUAAUUAUAAAAGUUUCUUGAAUGUCAUCAUCCAAUUUGUUUAAGCGAGGAUUUUUAAAUGCUAUCUUUAAGCAAAUUGAUUUUUGUAUUAUAGAUACUUACUACUAUUACUUCAUACCUAGCUACAAACCUCAUGUAUGUUUUAAUCCAGAACAAAUCAGGGCCAUGGGCCACCUUGCACAUAGCGAGAGUGGAAAAAUAAAACUACACAAUUGCUUUUUUGAAGCCAGUGACUCAACUGAUUUUGCGCUCGGCAAUUCAUCCGAUUUUCAUUAAAAGGGCCCUAAGAGGCCAUUGGCGUUUUGGGCCUGUGAAAAUUUGGAUGAUUUGGUGUGUCCAAUGCAUGUGUAAGCACAAAUUUUGUUGUCUAAAAUAAAAGACAAGAAAACUUACAUAAAUAUCAAAUUUAUUAAAUUAAAUAACAAGAGGGUUACAAUAUUUGAAAAUUUUUGAAUCAAAGAAAUUAAUCUCCUAAUUUUUAUCUUCAAAAGGCUUUAAUCGGAAGGCCAAAAAGGCUUGUUCUCCGAUCAAGAGGGUGUUUUCUAUGAUUUCUAUGUAAAAAACGGCUGCUUUGAUGAUGACGUUAAUAUUUGAAUCUUUAAAUCUUCAACGCCGAUGGAAGGAGGAUUUAUUUAACUUAAUUUGGAUUUGGAUUUGAAUUUGAGGGAUAAAGCUCUCGACAGAAUUUGACAAAGUUACUUUGAAAUUUAGGAAUUUUAAUGUAUUUUUGCCUUGAGGGAAGACCUUUAUUUAGAGUCAACUUAUGCAAGCUAUGUCUUCAAGAGAAUCCUUCAAAACCAUCUUGCGUUUGGGUAACUUGUACCUUAAGAAACCCAUUUAACUUGGAGUUAAAUAGUGGUCCGACCCAAAUAGUCAAUUGUGAAUUAACAAAUCAAUUAAAUCACUUUAAUUUAAAUGGGCAUCAUAUUUUUUAUUUGAUUAAAUAGCUCAUAUAACAUUGGCUCAAUUUGUCAAUCCAAAACAUAAUGAACUUCUAUAAUUUAAUUCAAUUUAACUAAGAUCAAUUUAAUUUACUUAAUCUUGACUAAAAAUAAAUUAAAUAAAUUUUCGUUGUCUAUGUCCCCACUUCAAAACUUGGCGAGGCAUUGCAUGUUAAUUGCUGGAGGCAAGACUUGAAGUAUUAAUUUUACUGCUGACCUAAAGUCAAACUAAAUUAAAGACUUCAAGCGUUCGGCAUACGGGUGAUCCACUUUUUUUUUUUUUUUUUUUUUUUCCUUUUUCUUUGGGAAGAGAAUGGUCCACAUCAAUUGUAGAAUUGCACCUCAAAGUCCAAUUGAAUAGGCAACGGUCACGGGUCUUCACUUUCACCUACUACUUGAAUAAAGCCUUGAAGCUCUUGAAUUUUCCAACUCUUAAUUUAGUCGUCAAUGGAAGUGCAGCCCCACAAUAUUAGACCGCAACUUUGACCCGUAGAAUUAGAAACCCCCGUUUGAUUAUGCGAUGUGGGCUCCUGCGCAGAAACUCCCAUAUGCUGAAAUUUGGAGUUUGCUCGUACGUUUCUGACCACCAAAUCUUGUUUUGGCACUUGGCAAUAUGGAAUUUGCUGAGUUUCAACGCUUCCUAAACGGAACUUUAAUGUAUUUCCAAAACCAAUGUUUGCAACUUCUGAAUAAGAAUAUGCCAAAUUUUAAGAGCUUCCCAAAUUGACUUCCAGCCAUUGAAAUUAUUCUUGGGAACCAAAUUCAAAUGAUUUCCAAAAAGUUAAACGAUAAUCACUGAAUUUAGUAUCUGUCCAAAACUUAAAACUUCUUAAUAUGAUUCAUCUAAGCACCUUUAUAUAUAUAUAUAUAUAUAUAUAUAUAUAUAUAUAUAUAGGUACAGAAGACAUGUCUUUGUCUUGAAACUGUGACAAACAGGACAUUUAUGACAAGGGCGUGUGAAGACUACCACGCUAUUUGAGGGAAAAAAAACCUGUUUGACACGUAUAUCUUGAAGGUAAUCAUCUUUAUUGUCUUUUGACAACUUCAUGUUGGUCGAGUAUCAGAUAUUCACCAAAUUUUGUUGAAAUCUGUCAAAACUUGAUUUGUUUCUAAUUUGGAGAAAAAAAAAGAUUUUUUUCUUCGUUUCUGCAAUUUUCCAGGUCACUCUUUCCUCUCAACAUGUUACGAUUCAGAAAUUGAGACAAAUCUUGUACAUAGGAAUCUUUUUUAACAGCUGAUGGUUGGAAUUUAGCAGACACCUUGAAGUCAAAGAAGGCAACUAGCAUUCCAAUAGCAUUAUUUGGUUGCAUGCCAUAUCCAAGAUUUUCACUAGUAAGCCACCAUUUUCUUGCUUUUGAUUGUUAUUCUUUCUCUGUUGCACAAUUUUAUUUUCGCACAAUCCAUUUUUUUUCUUUGAAUUUUCUCUUUUGCAAAACAGAGACCACCAAGGAAAGACAGAAAGAUUUUUUGUUUUUGUUUUUGUUUUUGUUUUUGUUUUUGUUUUUUUUUUUUAUGGUUGCACCUUGUGUUGGCACCCCUUAUUUGAAGCAAGUUGAUGUUCCAGUUGUGUUGGGGAUUUUAGGGCCAUAGCUCUUAGAACUCAAAAUACUAAUGUAAUUUCCGCACUCCAUGACAUUUACUUCUUGUCAAUGCCAAACUCUCCUCUUUUUUUUUGUGAUAUGAAAGGAAGAUCUCUCGUUGCAACAUAUAUGGUGGACACUCAAUUUGAAAGAAGGUGCAACCACCAACUUGCACGAGAGCCAUAUCAUGGUUUGAGGAGUAUAAUGAAAAUGAUGCAACUGCAAACUCUUAUGAGAGCCAUAUCAUGGUUGAGAAGUACAAUGAAGAUAGUGCAAUCAAAAAUUUGAAAAAGGUGCAAUCGCAAACUCCCAUGAGAGCCUAUCAUGGAUUGAGGAGUACAACGAAGAAGGUGCCACAAAAUGUCGAAAAAUGUGCAAUCGCAAACUUGCACGAGAGCCUAUCAUGGUUUGAGGAGUACAAUGAAGAAAGUGCAACUACCCACUUCAAUGAGAGCUUACCAAAACUCGAGAAGCCCUUUCAUUUAACUUCACAUUGACUAUUUAUUACUUCUCUCACUGUCUUCGAUCACACCAUUGUAAUCAAAUUUUUUUCUCUUGCUUUUAUUGCAAGUUGGUCCUAACGAAAUGGUGAUGGUCAAGGAAGUUACAUCUUCAAACAAAAGGUACCUCCUUAUCACUAAUAGCCAUGAUGACUCUGCUGACAAAGGAAUGAAAUUAUUGGUGCAUCCCUCUAUACAAGAAACUUACUCUGGUGAUUGGUUUUCUCACAAAUAUUCCGAAUUAAAGGAUUGGUCACUAAAAUUUUCUCAAGAUGAUGGUACAAAAGUUCACUCCUUGAAAUUCCUUAUCAUAAUAAGGAGCCAAGGACAAUUGGCAGGCGAAUCAUAGAUGAAGACACACACUGGGGUGCUUCCUUGAGAUUUAGUGAUGAAUUUGGUUAUAUCGAGAAUUAUUAGGAGCGGUUGGAAGAUAUUUUUGGAAAAAACAAACAAGUGUUUCGUGAAAAUUACUUGUUCGAUGUCUUAUAUGCUUCGCUUCUCAUAUAUAACAAAAAUUCUCAUGUGUUUAGAGCAUUUUGCGAGACAUGGUGCCUAAACACUAAUACCUUGCAUAUGUCAAUUGGAGAAUUAUCUCUCUCACUUUGGGAUCUGUGUAAAUUAGAAGGACUUCCAAUCAUCGGAUACAUCUAUGAAGAGGCGAUCCCAUGUGUAGAGGAACUAACUGGAGUUAAUGAAAAGAAGUUGAUGCAUAUUCCGCAAAAUUGUGAGUAUUUGUUCGCGGCUCUGCACUACCUUCAACAUGGAGAAUACUACAAUUAUGGAGUUUCUGCUAGCCAAUAGAUUAACUUUUGGUUUAAAGGCAACGUGAGGUAUUCAAAACCAAAACAGAGAAGGAUAAAGAGAGCAUCUAGUGCUUAAGCAACCCAAAAUCCAGAUGGAAAGAUUGGACAACCACGUAAUUUUUAAUUCAAGACAAUGGCAUAUAUGAUACCAUUGGAGACAAGUCUCACUUACGAGAAGAGACUUAUCUUGUAGCAUUUAUAUCUUGUUGACUCUACGUUUUUACUCUACCAGAUGAGGACGUCUAUUAUAUUAGACUAUCUACCUUCAAAAUGGCUAGCAUGAUGGCUGUCGGAUAUAAAACUUGCCUUGCUGUUCCUGUCUUGCUGAGUAUCUAUCACGGAUUCAAUAAAAUUUCAAAUUCAUCUACUCCAAGGUGUGCGCGUGCAUUUUUUUCAAUGCACUACGUGUAUGCUUAACUGGCGAGUUAUUUCUCUACCCAUUAUUCAACUCCGAAUAUCAUGCCUGGACCAACAAUUAUCAAUUAUUCUGGAAAGGGUGUGCACAAUAUUUUGAUGAAAAUAGUGCUUGCGACCUCAUUCAUCAAGGAGACAAAGUAACUUGGGGGACAACUUCUCUUGUGAAGAAUUAAAAUGAAUUUUUUGUUGAUGAUGGCAAGUUAGCGAACCCAGAACUGAUUUAUUUCGUAAGUGCUUGCUCAAAUUAUUUAGUCUUACAUGCUGAAGGAGAUUUUCUUGUUGAGCCAUACAGGUUUGCAAGGCAAUUCGAAUUUUAUCAAAACACCCCACAAGAACUGGGAGCAGAUGUUCAUUCUACAAAUUAUGACUUGAGUCAAAUACUUUGACACAUUGCUAUUCAUAAUAAGACAGAGUCGAAGGUAUUUUUUUCUAGUUACCCCUUGAAUGCUAACAAGCAUAUAUCUCCAGAUUUUCAAACAUGAUGUUUUGAUUAAGAGUGUCCAACCAAAUUUGAAACAGAAGAAAUCGAAAGGAAAGAAACUUGCAAAUUUGAAUAAUCCUGUCAAGGUUGGCAGUAAUCUUGAGGCGAAACAGAAAAUCACCAAGACUGUGAGGAUUGAGGAGAAAGCAUUGCAGAGCUCCAGCAACUCGUGAAAUUCUAAUUUUCAAUGAAGAAUUUUCGAAUGGUAAUUCAUUUUGUCUUCCUUCAAUAAUUGUAAAAGCCACCAAUCAUGAGUCUCGCAAUUCCAAUGAAAAGAAGAGGAGCAACUCUUUUGAUGAGAAGGAUGAGCAAUCUACUAGUACAGACUAGCACUAGAAGCAUAAGAAAUUCAAGGUAAUGACUUUCUCUUUGGAUGAUAUUGUUUUAGACCCUAAAGAAAUGUUUAAGGACAUUCUGGACAAAUAUGUGCUUGGUAUAAGUCAUGCCAAUAUUAUAAGAACAUUCUCUUGCCUUCUUUAGUUUGGCAUUUGAAAUUUACUUAUCAAUUUCAUAUUCAUGAUAUGUCUCAUAACAUUUUCCAUGUAGUUGAAUGAUCAAAACUUGAUUUUUAUUAAUGAUGGGAAAUCAAGCUAAGAAUUCGUUGAAGGACCCACUAUAUUUUAACUUUUAACAAAACAAGUGGUCAAUUCUACUCAAUAAAAGGGCAUCAUUGAAAAUUUCAAAAAGGCAGUGCAUGAUGAAAAUUCAGUUCAACAAAUCAUGCUACAGAAGAAAGAACAUGUGACUUCACCGGAGAAAAAAAAGUUCAAAAUUUUUGAUCCACAACCGUAGCCAAGGGCACCUCAAGUGUCUGAAUUUUGCCCCCAAACUAUGAUCUUAACAUGUCAUCGAGAUUACAUUCAAAUGCUCUGAAAUAAUUUGAAGGUGCUGAUAUCCGAAACAAUCCUGGAACGCAUUUCUGCUCUUAAGAUGAAAGCAAAUGAAAUCAUGGAGGAAAUGCAAAGUUUCAAUGCUAUGAAUAUUUCAAACUUGUAAGGCCUUUUAAAGCCUUUCUUUACAAAACCAAUUCGUUCUGUCGUAAUAAAGUCUUCUUUCUCAAAUAAAAUUUCAAUUGAAUCAUAUAAUGAGUUGUUUUCUAUAGCUACCCAACAUCUUAGAGAUGCUCAGAGUAAGGAGAAAUAAUAACUUAAAAAGUUCUCAACGUACAUGUUAAAAUUUAAAGAGAUUGACCAUGAGAAAAUAGAGCUAAGGAAAUGACUUGAAUCUAUGGGUACUCAUAGGAUGGAAAUACUUUCACUGCUACGAAAGAAACAAGACGAGCUUACCUAAAUGCAAGGCAAGAUGAUCAACUUAUGAAAUGAAAUUCAAAAGAUUGAAGAUUCCCUAUCUUUACUUGUUGAGGAGAGCCAAACAUUGAACAAAAUGCAAGCACUACUUGAAAGCAACUGCAAAAAACUGUCAUCAUUUGAACUUUAGAAUUAGUUACAAUCUUUUACUUUUUUCAAAUUUUAUUUAUUGUCACUUGCCUAUAUUAUAUAGCCACAGGCAUAAUUAAUUUUUUAUUUCACCAUGAAUCAUGAUUUUUUUUAUUUCAUGAUACUCUUGUGGAUAUUUCUUACUUUCCUUUGUUGCUUUCAUUAACCACCAUUUUAGACUAUCGAUUGCAAAAUAAACAAUUCAACAUUUGCAUAAUUUUAAUCACAUUUGAAGAGGUAAUUGUCUACAUAAUUUGAUAAUUUGAACAAUAUACUUUCAGGUGUAUGUUGCAAAGUAAUUUGAAUUGCCCUAAAGAGAAAAACUUUUUAUCUUUUAUUGCAUGACAUCUUUAUGGGGUUGUAACUGAAUUUCGAAGUUACCAUCUAAACUGUUUGCAUAUCCCAAAAGGGAAUAAAUUCACGUGUAGUUCCUACCAUCCACAGUUUAAUUUCUUGCAGGUCAGGAGUAUCUAUUUGCUUAUCACUUUAAACUUGGUGGAGUGUUUUAGUAGUUUAACCAUAUACUACACUAUUGGUGAUUGCCGUCCACAGUUUUAACUCAUAUGGACCAAGAGCAACAUGCAGUUUAGACUCAUGUGUCAUGAAACAACAUGCAGUUUAGGGUCAUGCGUCAUGUUGUCCUUUAUUUUUUUUAUGGCGUGUAUAAUCUUAAGAAAUUUUCAUUUAUGGGUCAACAUUUACACCAUUUUGUCAACUACCUUGUACGCGUUAUUUGUAUAAACAUUUCGGAUAAUAUAUGGUCCAUCCUAUUCGGAGACAAAUUUAUCUUUAGCAUGAUGAGUCAUAACUAUUGAUUUUCGAACGGCGAACACUAUGUCACCAAUUUGAAAGGAAUGAUGAUGAUAGCUUUAGAAAGGUAAGCCUGGUAGCAUUCAAGAUUUUGUUGAGUUUCCAAUUCCUUUUCAUCUAAAGUUUCUAAUUCUUUAAGAAGCAAGCAAAUAUUUUCUUUCUCCAUGAGCCCUUAUUGGAUGGCAAUUCUCAGAGAAAGAAUUUGUUGUUCAAGAAGCAAGACAACUUCUACACCAUAAACUAAGGCAUCAGGGGUGGCUUGCAUUGGAAUUCGAUAUGUGGUGCGAUAAACGCAGAGAGUUUCACCUAUCAUUUCAUGCCAAUCCUUCUUUGAUCUGGCCAUCACUUUUUUCAACAAGUUGCAUAGAGUUUUAUUGAAUGCCUAAACAAUACUGUUGGCAGGGACAUUAUACAUAAAGGACUUGCGAUGUUUGAAUUUAAAUUUCUCACACAACCUAUCCAUUAAACAGUUGAAGAAGGGUUUCCAUUAUCAGUGAUAAUGUGUUAGAGAAUUUCAUAACGAUAAAUAAUAUUUACACGAAUGAAAUUCACCAUAUCUUCUUUUCUCACUUGAGUGGUAUAGUUUCAUCCCAUUUAGAGAAGUAGUUGGUUGUAACCAAUAUAUAUAGAUGUUGUCCGAACGACUUAGGCAAUGGUCCAACAACAUUAAGGUCCCAGGCAUCAAAAGGCUAAGAAGUAAUAGUCAAAUGUAAUAGUUCGGGUAAUUGAUGAAUGUAAUUUGCAUAGAAUUGACAAGUUUGACACCUUUGAGCGUAUUCCAUACAAUCUUUGACCAUAGUAAGGCAAUAAUAGCCCAUCAUUUUAAUCCAAAAAUGCAACUUGGGACCGAAUUGGUGAGUUUGACAUAUUUCAAAAUGUGCCUCUUGCAUAGCUUGAUAUUCAUUAUCUUCAUUCAGACAGCGCAAGAAUACACUUUCAAAUGAUUUUUGAUAUAGCGUAUCUUUGUAUAAGAUGAAACGGGGGCACGACAAUAGAUAUCAAAUCUUUUAUGUUGCUCCUUAGGUACCUUUUGAUACUUGAUAUAAUUGAUAACAGGUUGUCUCCAAUCUUCUUUAUCAACUUCAUAAGUUGAGACGACAUAAGCAUCACCUUCCUCAAUAUUUUCAUUAUCAAAUAAUGGUGAAACUAUCCACUUUUGAUACACACGAACUUGUAUUUCAUAAUUUGACAUAGUCAGAGAAGAAGCAAGCAUAGCUAAUGCAUGAGUUUGCUUAUUUUCUCUUUUAGGGACAUGUUCAAUACUUGUACCUUCAAGUUACCUUAUAAGUUGCGUUGCAUUCUUGUGAUAUGGAAUUAAUUUAAAUUUUUUAACAUCAUAAUUUCCCAAGGGUUGACUAACGACUAAUUGUGAGUUGCCAUAGAUUUGAAACUCAAAUUAUUUCAUGUCAAUAGUUAUUUCAAGUCCGAAUAUGAGGGUUUGAUACUUAACGACAUUAUUUGAACAACGUUGAUUUAGAAUAAAGGAGUAUGGCAAAACUUCUUCAUCAGAUGUUGUAAAUACAAUUUUGACUCCAACUCCAUGACGAUGAGUAGCAGAUUUCAAUAAGGAGUACAUUUUUAUUUGGUAGAUCAUCACUUAACUCCCAUUCAACAAGUAUCGGGUGAUCAAUAAGAAAAUCUACUAGUACUUAACCCUUCACGGCCUUUUGGAAUACAUAAAUAAUUUUAAAUUAUUGUAACUAGGUACCAUUUAGCUAGACAGUUGGAUAGUGUUGGUCUACUUAUCACGUAUUUUAUGAAGUUUGCCUUGAAGAUGAGUCUCACACUGUGUGCUUGAAAGUAGUGUUUUAACUUCUAUAUUAUAAAAAUAAGAGUUAAACACAACUUUUCAAUCGGUGAGUAGUUUAAUUUAUUAGAGAUCAUCAUAAAUAAUAAAGGGCAGUUUCUUUCACUUCAUUAUUUUCUUGUGCAACCAAUACCUCCACUAAACGUUCUUGGGUAACAAUGUAAAGAAUUAAUGGCUUUCUAUAAAUAGGUUCAAUCAAGACAGAUGCCUUCAUGAGAUAAGAUUUAAUGCUAUUGAAUGUAUUGCUGUACGCUUCAUUCCAUUGGAAUGGUACACCUUUCUUCAUAAGGUGAUUAAAUGGUUGACACCUUUCAAUUAAAUUUGAGAUAAACCUCCACAGAUAGGUUAAUCGCUCUUGAAGGCUUUUUAUUUCUGAAUAUUGCGAGAUUCAGGCAUUCUCAAUAUAGCAUCAAUGUUGACUCGAUCAAUUUUAAUACCUCGAUGACAGACCACAAAAUCAAGAAACUUUCCUGAUGUAACUCUAAAUGCACAUUUGAGAGGAUUCAAUUUGAGUUGAUAUAUUUUCAACCGAUCAAAAUUUUGUUUCAAAUCCUCCAAGUGAUUAUUUCUUUUUUUUUUUAUUUAACAACCAAAUCGUCCAUAUAACAUUUAAUAUUUUUAUGAAGCAUGUCAUCAAAAAUAUUUUACAUUAAUCUUUGAUAUGUAGUUUUGAUAUUUUCAAACUAAAGGGUAUUAUGUUAUAACAAUAAAUACCCUUAGGAGUAUGAAAUCUAGUGAGUUAUUUAUCCUCAGGUGUUAUUCGAAUUUGAUUAUAGUUAGAAAAGCUAUCCAUAAACGACAAACCCUCAGACCCAAUAAUUGCAUUAAUCAUGAGUUUGGUGAUGGGUAGAGAAAAAUCAUCUUUGGAACAAGCACUGUUAAGAUCCCUAAAAUUUACGUAGAUGUGAAUUUGCCUGUUCUUCUUUCGUACAGACAUGAUAUUUGAAAUUCAUGUGAAAGACUUAAAUUCAUGAAUAAAUCCAUCAUCAGUGAAUUUAUUGAUUUCAACUUCGAUCAAAUAGACCAAAUCGGGUCUAAAUCACCAUUGUACUUACAUUACAGGUCGAACUCCCUUUUUAAUAGGUAAAUGGUGGACUGCUACUUUUGAAUUUAGACCUAACAUUUCUUUAUAAGUUCAUGUAAAAAUAUCUUGAUACUCUUGCAAGAACUCAACAUAUGUCUUCUCUUCAUCAGAAUUCAAUAAAGCACUUACCUAUAUAGGAUAUGGGUCCUGUGAAGUGCCAAAAUUGAUUUUUUAAGUCAUCUACAGUGGCCUUAACGCCUUGUUCAAAUUCAGGUGAAGCAUCUUCAACAUCUUCUUCUUCUCCAAGGGAAUUAUUAUCAAAUAUGGUUAUAUGGUUGUAUGAAACAAUACUUUCUUCAUCAUCUUCCUUUGAUCUUGUUUCUACAAUAGUAUGCUCUCUAACCUUUAGUUCAGUCCCAUAAAUUAUUAUAAGAUUUGUACAUCUCCUCAUUCUUGAGAGAAUAAUGUUACCAAACUUAUAAAUGUUAUGGGGACAAUCAAAAGAUUCUUCAAAUUCUUUCAGUGAUUUUGUCAUUCUCCAUUUAUUCUUAUGAGAAUUUUGAGACUUUUAUUUUCUUUGUGGUCCUAGUCUUUUGAAGACGAAUACUCACAGAGCCUUAUCCCUAUUUUUAUGAAAAACGUGUGACUUAUUGACUAUUUUAGAAGAUUCAUCUCUUAUAGCAAUAAAUUGACUACCAGCUCUAUUGAUUUUGAUGCGAAUUGGUACAGGUGAAAAAUAGUAAAGAUCAGAUUUAGAAUUCUUAACAGCAUAUCCUUUCCCUUUCAACAUCUUUUGAGUAAGGUUUAACCCAUAAGUCACAUCGCUAGUGGCUUGAGGAGGUUUCAAUACCAGAGAUUUCUUGAAAUCAUACCCAAUUUUGGUAAGAAGUUUAUAAGCAAUAUAAUCAAAAGCUUCAUUAAUUCUUGACGUCAGUAGCAUAUCUUGCUUGAUGUCAAACUCUUUAUUAAGAUGAUCAAACCCUUUGAUUAAAGGCGAUGGUAUAUUCGUAGCAUCAAGUUUAGCCACAGGAAGAGUUAAUCCUUUCAGAGUUUUGUGUGGAAUUGAAGAUGGUUGUCCUUGUCCCAAUCUUGACUUGGGAGGGUAUCCGAAGACAACUGAUUUAUUUUUUAACAAUGAGGCAUCAAUUUUUUUAUGAACUACCUCUUUUGAUUUUGGAAUCACCACUUUCUUCGUUUUGCACUUGAUGAUUCGAGAUCUUGGAUUUUAACCAUAGAUGGAGAUUGUUUAAACUCAUUCUUUAUGUUAUACUGAUUUAUUUUUUAACAAUGAGGCAUCAAUUUCUUUCUGAACUACCUCUUUUGAUUUUGGAAUCACCACUUUCUUCCUUUUGCACUUGAUGAUUCGAGAUCUUGGAUUUUAACCACAGAUGGAGAUUGUUUAAACUCAUUCUUUAUGUUAUAUUUUUGGAUAUAAAAUUUAGCAUUAGCGAUAUGCAUUUCUACUUCAGUGUAAAGAUUAUAAUCAGUUUUCACACUUUUUACCACUCCAUUUCGGUAAUACUUGAAAUAUUGGUGAAGAGUUGAAAGCACAACCCCAUUUUCAUGAAUCCAGGGUCUUCCCAGUAGCAUAUUAUUUAUUGUUUUAGUAUCUAUUACAUACAGUUGUGCUUUAGACAAUAUAUCAUCGAUAACUAUCUCUAAAUUUAACGAUCCAAUAGCUCUUUGCCCUCCUUGAUUAAGGUCUUGUAUUAUUAGUCAGCUUAUUGGAAAGUUUAUCAAUGGAGAUGCCAAAUUCCUUUAGAGUUUUUAAGACAAGGCUAUUGACAGCAGAACCUCUCUCUAUCAAAAUUUUAUUCACAUUUUAUUUUUUAGCAUAAACAGUUACAAACAAAGGACGGUUAUGUGAUGUUGACCCAAAAAACAAGUUGAUAGGGUGUUAAUUGUUAGUAAUUUUAUUGCUAUUUUUCCCCUUUGUCCUUGCCAAAUAUUAUUUUAAUUGUUAACAUAUACUUAUUUUUGGUAUUUGGACCAAUCUACAGGAAGUGGAACUGACAAAUGCUAAAAAGGAGAUUUUAUUGAGAAAAAUCCUUCACAUGCUAGAGCCUCCAGCGGAUAUACAAGUUGGGCCCACAUGGUGUUACAAAUUCGGUUGCUGAUGGGGAGCUCUUAUUAUUGGGAGUUGACUUGUACGUGUAGGAGUCCUCCUACCAAGAGGAAACAAGAAAAAAGGAAUUCGGCAGAGGCCCAUCUUUUGUACUUAGCUUUCUCAAUUCGGUAGGGACCAUGGACUAGAGGUUUUCAUUAGUGAUUGGACUUUAAAAGGGAAGAAACGUAUAGAGGCUUGGGGAUUAUUAUGAUUAGCGUAGCUUUAGUUUUAGUGGUUAGCUAGCGUUUCCUUUUCAUGCGCACGAGGUGCUCGACAAUAUUUUUCAACGGGAAAAAAAAACAUCUUUUACUCUUGCUUUCUAGUGAAAAACUUGAUGCCUUUGCAAUCAAUUAAUUUGCGUGGAGAUUUAAUUAUGCGGCGUGGCUAAGCCUUUUAUCUAGUCAAGGAUCAACUCGACGGCGCAGUCCCAAAUAUCUGUGAGAUCUAAUUAGUUUUCACGCGUUUCUUAAUUUGUUAAUAUUUGCAUGUUGCCUAUUUGAAUUUCCACGGGAUUAUUUUGUUAAUUGGAUAUCAAGAGCCCGAUGUUCAAUGUGACUUAUUAAUUUCCUGCCAAAUUAGUCAAUUAAAUCCGUAAUUGUUUGAUUGAUUAAUAUUAGUAGCAACUGACAUGUUUACACACUAGAAGAACGUGCAAUCUAAUUUAAAUAACCCUCGUAGCGUGUUAUUGAUUGGGAUUAGAUUUUUCUAGUUAUUAAUGCAAUUGGGAAAUUAAUUCAUACAGUUGUACCUAGGAGUAUUUUCUGGUUAGGAGUAAUCAUUGGUCGUACCUUGGUUAUCAAUAAAUUAAGGAAAAAUUGGUCGUUAGAAUUCGUCGGCGACUAUAACUAGCCUAUUAAUAAAUUAAGUGAACCUCCCUUGCAUCAAUGAUCGGGUAAGUGGACUGUGUCUGAGUAGUUGUAUUCUUAACUAAAAUUUAUCUAUUCUUGAUUUAAUUCCUGCCUAUAUUCGUGCUAAUUAAUUAUUUAUUUUUAGUGAAUUGCUUAAUUAUUUUUAGUUUUACUCCAAUAAAAUUCCUCUUUACCAAUUGGAAUCUCAAAAAGACAAAUAUUCUCAGUCCCUGAAGAGACGACCCUACUUGCCAUUGUCUACUAUUUAGUAAGUUUUGUCAACUAAUUAAUUUUGGUAUAUCGGAUUAAGCAAAUUUUUCGGGAACAGGGUGAAUUAAGUAACCUAUUGCACAUCUAGAGUCCCGGCUCUAAUAUCUAGGAUUCAUUAUUGACUGCUUUUAGUGGUAUUUAGGUUAUUAUUAUUAUUAUUGCACAGUCUCGACACCUGUCAAUUUUUGGCGUCGCUGCCAGGGACUGGCGUUAAUUAUUUGUUUUUUUAAGUUCAAUUUUGUUCUAAUUUUCUGGUAUUUUUUCUAAUUUAUGCAUCAUUCUUCUCGUAUAAGUGAAUUAAUUUUCGACCCUGAAGUAGAGAAGAUCGCGCGUAGAACGAGAAAAGAAACCAGACAAUUCAGAGAAGAGCACUCAAGUACUACAUCUCAGAGACUUGAGCCGGAAGUUGAACCGGCAAAUUCGUUUGGUAACACUUCGAGUGACUCGGAUCAAGAGAAACUCACCAUGGCAAAUGCACAAACAUUAAGGGAGUUGGCUGCUUCUAAUUUAAAUCAACAGCCUUUAUGCAUUGCUUUCCCAAGUUUGAAUGAUGACACCCUCUUUGAACUAAAAUCUGGUCUAAUUCAUCUCUUGCCAUCUUUUCAUGGUUUACCAGGUAAGGAGCCCUACAAACAUUUACAAGAGUUUGAUGUUGUUUGCAACAGUAUGAAACCCCCGGGAAUCACAGAAAAGCUGAUAAAAAUGAGGGCCCUCCCCUUCUCUUUGAAGGAUUCAGCGAAAGAUUGGCUAUACUACCUACCACCAGGUAGUAUCACCACGUGGGACCAGUUGAAAAAAAAAUUCUUAGACAAAUAUUUUCCUGCGUCUCGGGCCGCCAGCUUAAGGAAAGAGAUAUGCGGUAUCAAACAACACCCAGGCGAGUCUCUCUAUGAGUACUGCGAGAGGUUUAAGAAGCUGUGUAUCAAAUGCCCUCAGCAUCAGAUAAGUGAGCAACUGCUCAUCCAAUAUUUCUAUGAGGGACUACUCUUCACGGACUGGAGCAUAAUCGAUGUUGCCAGUAAAGGGGCGCUAGUGAACAAGACCCCUCGAAAAUCUUGGGAGUUGAUUGAGGGGAUGGCUGAAAAUUCACAGCAGUUUGGUGGGCAGUGGCGAUGGCGAAGGCUCGCGGGGGUGGAAGAGCCGUUGGCGCGACUGGGGCCGCGCGGCUGCUAGAAUCUAGUUGCAUCAGUCUCUGUGGUCCUUGGGAUCUUUGAUUCGGCUGUUCCAUAGCUUGUCGAUCCUUUGUUGCAUCCCUGUAGGCAUUGUAAUUCCUGUUGAUUGAGUUGUUAUCUAGUUUUUGAGGGCACCUCUAGUAGUUCCUUUAUUUGGGAGUUAUUUGGGGUUGAGUUGGGAGUUAUUGGCCAAUUGAUUCCUAUUUUGCUUUCGUCCUGUUUCUGGUACUGUAUGGUUUUGAUUGGGGGGUGUCUCAGUGGUUUGGGUUGCCUGUUUGAAUUGGUUCUUACCUGUGUGUGCACCAGUGGUACUGGUUGUGUUGGGAAUCCGUGACUGAUUUGUUCUUGUCCAAUUGAAGCCAUUUUGAGCAAUUUUGGGGUGAACACAUUUUGUCAUUAAUUGUUGAUUGUUGGGGGACGUUUUUGGUAACACUUGAGUUGAUAGGGUGUUAAUUAUUGGUUAUUUUAUUAUUAAUCUCCCUUUUUAUUCUUGCCAAAUAUUGCUUAAUUGUUAAUAUUUACUCAUAUUUGGUAUCUGGACUUAAUUUCAGGAAUGAAGUAGAAAACUACCAAAAAGGAGGGAUUUUAUGGAGAAUAUGGAAACUUCUAAGGGCUUCAAUUCUUGGGCCCUUGAAUUGGUGGGGACCACAAGCUAGUGAAAGGCAUUUAGUCAUUUGAGCUCUUCAAAAGAAGCUACGUAUAUUUUAUUUUAUUUUAUUUUAUUUAUUUUAUUUAUCUCUUAUUUUUUUUUAUAUAGUUUAUGGCUUCUAACACUUCGUAUUUUGGUGAUAUACUGGAUUUUGUUUCCGGGAAAGGCAAUGUGACUAGUUUUUUUGCUAAGUCUGCAUAUGCAGAGGCACUAAACUCUAUUAGAGAAAGAAUGGCUGCUGCAACCUGUAAAAUUUGUUAUACCAGGGAUCAUUCAACCGGUAUGUGCCCCGAAUAUCAAGAUAAUCUGAGUGUCCCAUUCGAUAAUUAUGGAGAAUUUUCACCCUGGUCUCAAACGUGGUACGACCCUAAUCCAAACGGGUAUGAUCAAGGAUGGUGGGAUAACUCCAAUUAUAAUUAUACAACGGGACCAAUGAAUUUUCAGCAGUAUGAGUCUCAAGAAUCGUCAUCUAUGUCAGGUAUGUCUCUUGAAGAAAUAGUUGAACCAAUAGCUACUAACACAUACCAAUUCCAACAGGAGACACAAAUGAGGAAUGAGAUGAUGAAGGAUGCAAUGAGUUAUCUGGCAGAUCAACUAUGUCUAUUGACAUCCAGAAUAAAUCGAUGGGCUUCUCAAAUGGAAGAACUGCCCUCGAAAACCAUUGUUGACCUAGAAGAAAAUGAGAGUGCAAUUUGCUUGACUAGUGAUGAGGAGAUGCAAGAGUGUCAAAAUGAAAAAUCUACAGAUACAGUUGAAAAAGAAGCCGAAAAGGAAGAAAUGGAACCCCAACCGCAACCCAUUCAAGUGAAAGAAUCCAGUGAAGAAUCAUCAAAUGUGGUGACACCACCUCCAUUCCCUAACCCGCAUUUUUUCUAACUCUUACUCUAUGAUUUCUGUUAAUGAGAUUGAUUUUGUUAUACCGGAAGUUUUUGAGUCUCAUGGCAGAAAUAAGUUGAGAGUGGAGAUGGCGAAAUAUCUUGAACCGUUGAAUGCUCUUGAUGGAGGAAUGGAUGAAGAAUUGCGAUCAAUGCUUGAUUAUGUGGCGCCAUCAACUAGUCCAUGGAAGCCCGUGGUUCGUGUGCUCAAAGAUUACUCCAUCUAUGAGGGUUACCAGGAUCAUAUUGAAGAUGAAGCAUUGAAGCGAGCUACAAGAUUUUAUCCUCCAUGAACAAGACAUAACAAUGUCUAGCCAAAGACAUUAAAGAAAGGCGUUUUUUGGGAGGCAACCCAAAUAUUGAUUUUAUUAUUUUUAGUUGUUCAAUUCUUUCGUUCUGUUGUUUCUCAUUUGGAUAGUAGUUGGUCUUGAUAUUUUUCUCCACUGUGAUCAGGAAGUGAAAUCUUGGCGUGCCCACGCGGUGUUUAGGUCUCCUGAGAUCAGAGGACGAACACCAAUCUUGGCGUGCCCACGCGGUGUUUGGGUCUCCUGAGGUCAGUGAAUGUUUUGUAAUCUUGGCAUGCCCACGCGGUGUUUGACGACCCAAAACAUGAAAAAAAAAAAGUUUCAAAAUUUCACAUUGAGAAAAUUCAAAAAUUCAAAAGGCAUUUUUCUUUUUCUUCAAAAAUUCAAAUUUUGGAAUUUCAAAUUCAGGAAAAAAUUUGAAAAAAAAACAUUGAGAAAAAAAAACCCAAAAAGAAAAAAUUAAGAUUCAAAAAAAAAAAAAAACUAUUUUUUUUUCUCUCUUUUUCUUUUUCUCUUUUCUUUUUCUUUUUUCUUUUCUUCUUUUUUCUUUCUUUCUUCCUUCACCACCGCAGCAGCUACCCCACGCGACUCUCCUCCGCCUACCCCAGCGCACAGCCCAGGCCACGCGCUCCCUCCUUCCUGCAGCCCGUCGACGAAGCCCACCAGCCACCACCAGCAGGCCGCGGCUCCUUCCCCCUUGCGCGGCCACAGCUCGCGAACCACCUCUCCCACAGCGCGCGGCCUUCUCCCUUAUCUUUUGGCCGCGCGUCAUUGGCUCGCCCAAGGGCAGCCGCCGCCGCCGUUCCUCACAGUCAAGCAAUCGCAGGCCAAAGCCCACAACCCCAGCCGGCGCCGCCCGCAGCUCCUCGUGCGUGACAGCCGUGCGACGCCGCGCCUCCCUCAGCAACAGCUCCAAGCUCCAGCUCACUCGCAGACAGCCGCGCGAUUCUCAGCCAUUCACCUCGCGCGACCCCGAGCGCACAAUUCCGCGUGCCGCCAUCGAAGACCGCCGCGCCUCUCCCUCAGCCCGCCAUUGCGCCCCACCACUGUCCCGCUGUCUACGGUUGGGCACAAGGGAGGUACUUUUAAAAGAAAUUUUUAAUUUAAAUACGAGAAUGUCAAUUUCUAAAUUCUGGGGCUGUUUAGUGAUUGUUUGGAUUUCUUGGUGGAUUUGGUUGGCCGUCUGAUUAAAUUCUUCCUUGUGUGAUAACCAGUGGUACUGGUUGGGGUCUUUCGACCAUAGUUGUUGCUUAUAUUUGGUCAGAUGUCUGCUUGUUUGAAAGUUCACGUUCUUGUGAUUGAGUUGUUGCUCAAAUUCUGAUCUGCUGUUGCUAGAACUUUUGGUUGGUUGAGUUGUGCAAUUGACUGUCCAAUUGGAGACAGUUAUUGAGAUCUUAGGUGGGAUGGUGUCCAAUUGCUAAAAUUUGUUGCUUUGUUUCGUCACUCGCACUGCUCCUAGUUUGUUCGAGUGAAAUUGGUUGGAUGUUCUUUGCCCGUGGAGUGUAACUGUUACAUUGUUUGGGGCAGUUUUUUGGUAUUGAUUGAAUUGUUGGGCGUAAAUUGCUCAGGACUUUACAUUGCUAAUUUGGUGGGCCAUUUAUUGUGCAUUACCCUUUUGAAUUGGGAGAUACCUGUGCUUAUUGGGUUUUGACUACUUGAGAUUUCUGUUGCAUCUGGGGGAUAAAAUUUGAUGACUUUUGUGCCAGUUUAUUUGUUUGGAAAUUGUUGGGGGUAAUUUGGGAGUUACUUGUCAAUUGGGUCCCGUGUUACCCUCUACCAUUCAGUGGUACUGAUUGGUGUGUUUGGCUUUAUCACAUGUCUUGGGUUGGCCAUUUGAUUUCAAUUUUCCUUGUGCAUGCACCAGUGGUACUGGUGAGGGUAGUUUACAUAAUAUUUGUUACUCCUGUGUUAUUGGUUGCCUAAUCGACUACUGGGCAUUUGUGGUUGAAUUGUUUCUGUCCAACUUCUGAACUGUUGUUGCUGGAGUGCCAUUUUCUUGGGUCAAUUGCUGAUUUUAGCAAGUUGAAGUGGGUAAUUGACUGUCCAAUUGGAGACAGUUGUUACGAUAUUGGGUCCGAUUGUGUCUAAUUGCUGGAAGUUGUUGAUUUAUUAAGACACUAGCACAGUUCCUAGUUUGUUCGAGUUGCUGUUCUGUUGCAUUAUUGGGAGCUGUGCUCUAGUAUUGUGGCUACUUUCCUGCGUUUAUUUGUUGAAUUGGGAUAUGAAUGUGCCUAUUGCUCAUUUUGUUGCAUCUAAUUGACUUGCUUGGGGUAAUCUGCCCAUCAAUUUUAAUUACUCAAGUCUUUGGAGCAGUUGUUGCACAUUUGGACUACUUUGUUUCUAUAUCUGACUGAAUUGGGACCACAAGUGCUUAUCAAUUGCAUUUGCUAUAAGUAUUGGGGUAUUCGUAUAGAUUUUAGGAGCCUGCAUUGUGCAUUUUAUUGUUUGGGUUGCCUACUAGUUACCAUGGUGAAGCCACGAUCCUCCCCCAGGGGCCGAUGACUGGCUCCAACUUUCGAUGACAGUUGAGAGACUGGAGACUCGAGUGACCCACAUUGACAUCGACUUGCAUAACAUGGCGCAGAAUUUGGCAGCACUCCGCCCGACCCGCCCCUGUUUUGACAAUUUCAAGGAAGUACCGUUGCCCUUCUCUUUACUUUUGUUGUUGGUUUAUCACAUUGAGGGCAAUGUGUGAUUUAGGUGUGGGGGGAUCAGUUUGGGUGCUAGUAUUUUUAGUUUUUAGGUUCUAGAGGUUUUUCUUUUGUUUUAGUUUGAUAUUUAGUUCUUUUUUUUUCGUCUAUUUUAUUUUAUUAUUAUUAUUUUUUUUUCUUUCUCCUUUUUUCUAGUGGUCAGUCUUCAUAUGAAUACCAAGUUUGAUACUGGAUUGUUGUCUCUAAUUCUGCUAUUGCCAAGUCUUAUUAAUAAAAGGGUAUUAAGUUAAUGUGCUUGAGUUCAGGAAUAUCUCUUUGGUGAAUAUCGGUAAUUGCUUAACUUUUUCAAUUUUUGGUUAACUUUUCUAGGCAUAGGGAAUGAUUGUUGGCAUUUUUCAUGUGAAUUGGUUCAGUUAUUAAUUUUAGUUCUCCAUGUCUGGAAAUUUGAGGCUGGCUGCUGUUAAUCUUAUGUUGCUUUUAGAUAUCGUGUUAUAUGGUUGUAAAUAAGAGUUGACUGUACUCCGCUAGUGGUUACUACUGAGUAACCGGGGAUUUUCACCUAAAGUGUCGAUUCUCGCGUCAAAAGGUAGUAGUUGCUAUGAAUGCGUGGUCCUGUAGCGAUCGGAGCUGAGUAACCGGGCUCCUCCAUCUGAUAAAUGUUGGAGUUCGCGUCAAAAGGCUCUAAAUGGCUAGAGACUAAGUCUUUUGCUAUUCCCAAAAAAAAAAAGAAAAAAAACAAGUAAAGUUUGUGUUAGUAUUUAAAAAAAAAAAAAAGAAAGUCAGCUUGCCUAUUUGUGAUCUUAAUGUCGAGAUUUUGGUUAAUAGAUGGACCAUUUGCUGAUAAAUGUGAGCAACCAUUCCUUUUCCUUAGAUUAGUUUGCUUCAAAUUGAAGGAGUUGGUGGUUUAGAGGCUAAUCGGGGUGAUUUUUCUUGGAUGUUGACCUGUGAUGCUUGAUAUUUAUUUUUCUUGGACAUCUUGGCAAUACGGUAGUUGGAGUAACAGCCAUGGUCAACUUUUGGUGUUCAAUUGUUGUUCCCAUACUUGAGGGCAAACAUGAUUUAGGUGUGGGGGGAAUUGAUAGGGUGUUAAUUAUUGGUUAUUUUAUUAUUAAUCUCCCUUUUUAUCCUUGUCAAAUAUUGCUUAAUUGUUAAUAUUUACUCAUAUUUGGUAUCUGGAUUUAAUUUCAGGAAUGAAGUAGAAAACUACCAAAAAGGAGGGAUUUUAUGGAGAAUAUGGAAACUUCUAAGGGCUUCAAUUCUUGGGCCCUUGAAUUGGUGGGGACCACAAGCUAGUGAAAGGCAUUUAGUCAUUUGGGCUCUUCAAAAGAAGUUACAUAGAGAGACUUGGAGAAAGAAGUACUUUGGAGGCUUUGUCCAUAUGUGUGGGGACCACCUAGAUAGCUUUUAGUCAUCUUUCUUUUGUUGCUUUAAAAGGGGACAACGUACAGAAGCAAAGGACAUCUAGGGCUUUAGUUUUAGUUUUUUUAGUUUAGUUCUAGUUUCCUUUCUUUGGACUGGCCUCUGACACACGCCAGGUGUUCGACAAUAUUCCCCAACGGGAAGAUUUUCUCAUGAGGCGUGGUUAAGCUUUUCUAGUCAAGGGGACAACUGACGAUUUGGUUCGACAAUUACUGUGAGAUCGAAUCUGUUUUAAUUAUUUUCUUCAUUUAUUGGUAUUUAUAUGUUCCUUGAUUUUAAUUGCUAUGGCCUUGUGUAUGAUUGAUUAGUGCGCAAUAAUUAAUUAUUCAUAUAGGCUAUUUUUGCUAAAUAGGGGUAAUUGAAUCCGUAAUUGUUCGUUAUCUCUACCUCAGUAGCAACUGGCGUAAAUGGGUUUAUGUCAGGGGAGCAUAUGAUCUAAUUUAAACAAACCCUCGUAGCGUGUUUGUUGGUUAGGAUUGGGCCUUUCUAAUUAUUAAUGCAAUCUAGAAAUUAAAUCCUACGGUCGUACCUAGGGUUGUUUUUGGGUUAGAGAAAUAGCUAACGGUCGUACCUUAGCUAUCGAGAAAUUAAGGAAGGGUUGGUUGUUUAUCGCGUGCAUGACAACUAUAACUAAUCUAUUGCUAAAUGUUGGAAUUAUUUCUGCAUCAAUGAUCAGUGCAUGAACCAUUUCUGAUGUGUACCCUUGGCUAGAGUUUCCCCAAUCAUUUCUUUUAAUUAAUUAUUUUCUGCAGUUAAUUUAUUUAGUUAGCAUUUAAUCCAAAACCCCCCAUACUUUGGACUCUAGAAGAAACGAAUUAUCCCCAAUCCCUGUGGAUUCGACCCUACUCACCGCUAUAUACAAAAUCUGUAUCUUUAUUGAGUAGGUAUUUAUUAUUGUACAGGUUCGGCACCUGUCAAUUUUGGGGUGAACACAUUUUGUCAUUAAUUGUUGAUUGUUGGGGGACGUUUUUGGUAACACUUGAGUCUAUUUUGCUGAGUUCUGUUGAUAGAGCAGUUAUUUGGCACAUUUUACAGUGUUAUUUUGUCCUAAUUUUGGCUAUUCAUGGUGUUAAGAAUUGGAAUAUCACUCAUAUUUGAUGUUUGUGUGAAUUGUAGGUGGUCGGCAUUAAAAAUGACCUCUCAAGGCAAAUUUCUAGAAGACUCUUCGUCUCAGAGCAUGGCCACGCCAGAGAAGGUCGAUGUUACCGAAAAGCCGGACCCCGGUCCACGUGAACCGCAAGGAGCACGGGAUUAAAGCUCUAAAAGGCUAGCUUUUGUUUCAAUCAAUUGGGUCAGACAUGACUUGGCUCCUAGAGGCUUCAAUUAAAAAAGAAAAGAAAGGGCCAGACGUCGAGGGAAUGAGAAUGAGGAAACUAGGUCUACAUGGACCAGCUACACGGGAUAAAAACUCCAAUGAAGAGAAGAGCUCUGCUCCGCGUGGAUUUCCCCUGCGGCACUAUAUAAGACAACAAAAAAGGUGAUGCAGCGGAGAAUAUAGAUUAGCUUUGAUUUUCUUUUCGAGAGGGGUCAGGCGAUUGCAGACUUUUGUAGCUUUUCGGUUGUGACACUUGGACUCCUUGGCUUUUGUUUUGACUCUGCACAAUUUACGUUAGUUUUUGUUCGUACACUUGCGGCACCAAAGCAAAGACGAAGGCAGUGCCUUCUCUGUUGUUACUGCAAUUAAUUCCCCUUCCCCAAUUUUCGGCGAAUAAUUGAAUGAAUUCAAUUAAAUCACGCGGGAUUGACACGAUAAGGAGCGGCUAAUUUUCUCCUCUACCCAAAGGUUGACGCGAAGGCGCGGUCCAUAAUAUCUGUGAGAUCUAAUCGAAUUUUCAUUAUUUCUUUCAAUUUAUUGCUAUUCGUACGUUUCCUGAAUUAAUUGUUCAUGAGUAUUUUACUAAUUGAAUAUCAACGGCCGGGUAUUUGAUUUAAUUUAAUAGUCUACUGCCACGUUAAUUAAAUAGAAUCCGUAAUUGUUCAUUUAGUUAACACCUCGUGGCAACCACCAUAAUUGGCUUUAUGAUGGGAAAACGCAAGAUCUAAUUUAAAUAAACCCUCUUAGCGUAUUUAUUGGUUAGGGUUGGAUUCUUCUAGCUUUAAUGCAAUUGGGUAAUUAAAUUCUCACGGUCGUACCUAGGGUUGUUAUCUGGUUAGAGAAGCAGUCAAUGGUUGUACCUUGACUAUCGAAAAAGUAAGGAAGAACUGGUUGUCAGAGCUUAUUGAUAACUAUAACCAACCUAGUGAUGAAUGGAUGAAAUACCUUUGCAUUGAUGAGCAUCUGUCUUGAGUCCAUUGAAGUGCCGUUGGUUGAGUAAUUUCUGCGUCUUUUUGUUGAAUUGGAAGGCUAUUGUGACACUUCCAUUGCACUUUCGGAAUGCAUUGUUUCUGUAUUUGACUAAAUUCAGGCCACCAGUGCUUCUUGAUUGCAAUCACUGUGCUGUUGGGGUAUUUGUACAGCUUUGAGUACCUGAAUUGUGUUUGUGUUGGUUGGAGUACCAUUUAUAGAGAAUGGUGAGACCUAAAUCCUCCUCUAGGUCUAGGACACCUAGAACUUCUCAGCCUCCUCCCACCCUAGGGGCUAACGAUUGGCUCCAACUCCGAAUGCAAGUUAAGAGACCGGAGAUUCGAGUGACCCACAUUGACAUCAACUUGCAUACCAUGGUGCAGAAUUUGGCAACAAUUAUGCACCAUGCGGGUCUUGUUCCUCAGUUUCCGUCUGACCCACCCCUGUUUUGACGACUUCAGGGAAGCACCGGUGCUCUUUUGCUUACUUUUGCUAUUAAAUUAUCACAUUGAGGGCAAUGUGUGAUUUAGGUAUGGGGGGGAUCAGUUGUGGUACUAGUAUUUCCAGUUUUUGAUUUUUAAGUGUUUUUCCUUUGUUUUUAGUUUGAUAUUUUUCUCUUUUUCGUUUAUUUCUUUUAUUCGUGAUCAGCUCUUAUUUGAAUACCAAGUUUUGAUGUUGGAUUGUUGCCUCUAAUUCUGCUCUUGCCAAGUUUUAAUAAUAAAAGGGUAUCAAGUUAAUAUGGUUGAAUUCAGGAACAUCUCUUUGGUGAAUAUCAAUAAUUGCUUAACUUUUCCAAGUUUUGGUUAACUUUUCUAGGCAUAGGGAAUGAUUGUUGGCAUUUUUCAUGUAAAUUGGUCCAAUUAUUAAUUUUAGUUCUCUAUGUUUGGAAAUUUGAGGCUGACUGCUGUUAUUUUUAGUUAUUGUGUUAUAUGAUUGUAAAUAAUAGAUAACUGUACUCCAUUAGUUGUUACUACUGAGUAACCGGGGAUUUUCACCUAAAGUGUCGAUUCUCAUGUCAAAAGGUAGCAGUUACUAUGAGUGCGUGGUCCCGUAGCGAUUGGAGCUAAGUAACCGGGCUCCUCCAUCUGUCAAAUGUUGGAGUUCGCAUCAAAACGCUCUAAGGGUUAUAAACUAAGUCUUUUGUUAUUCAAAAAAAAAAAAGAAAAAAAGAAGCAGAAGAAAACAAAAGAAGCAGAUUGUGUUAGUAUAUGAAAAAGUCAGCUUGCCGAUUUGUGAUCUUAAUAUCGAGAUUUUGGUUAAUAGUUGGACCGUUUGCUGAUAAAUAUGAGCAACCAUUCCUUUUUCUUAGAUUAGUUUGCUUUAAAUUGGAAGAGUUGGUGGUUGGGAAGCUAAUCGGGGUAAUUUUUCUUUGAUCUUGACCUGUGAUGCUUGAUAUAUGUUUUUCUGGAUAUCUUGGCAAUACGGUAGUUGGAGCAAUAGCCAUUGUCAAAUUUUGGUGUUCAAUUUCUGCUCUCAUGCUUGAGGGCAAGUAUGGUUUAGGUGUGGGGGGAAUUGAUAGGGUGUUAAUUGUUAAUAAUUUUAUUGCUAUUUUUCCCCUUUGUCCUUGCCAAAUAUUAUUUUAAUUGUUAACAUAUACUUAUUUUUGGUAUUUGGACCAAUCUACAGGAAGUGGAACUGACAAAUGCUAAAAAGGAGAUUUUAUUGAGAAAAAUCCUUCACAUGCUAGAGCCUCCAGCGGAUAUACAAGUUGGGCCCACAUGGUGUUACAAAUUCGGUUGCUGAUGGGGAGCUCUUAUUAUUGGGAGUUGACUUGUACGUGUAGGAGUCCUCCUACCAAGAGGAAACAAGAAAAAAGGAAUUCGGCAGAGGCCCAUCUUUUGUACUUAGCUUUCUCAAUUCGGUAGGGACCAUGGACUAGAGGUUUUCAUUAGUGAUUGGACUUUAAAAGGGAAGAAACGUAUAGAGGCUUGGGGAUUAUUAUGAUUAGCGUAGCUUUAGUUUUAGUGGUUAGCUAGCGUUUCCUUUUCAUGCGCACGAGGUGCUCGACAAUAUUUUUCAACGGGAAAAAAAAACAUCUUUUACUCUUGCUUUCUAGUGAAAAACUUGAUGCCUUUGCAAUCAAUUAAUUUGCGUGGAGAUUUAAUUAUGCGGCGUGGCUAAGCCUUUCAUCUAGUUAAGGAUCAACUCGAUGGUACAGUCCCAAAUAUCUGUGAGAUCUAAUUAGUUUUCACGCGUUUCUUAAUUUGUUAAUAUUUGCACGUUGCCUAUUUGAAUUUUCAAGGGAUUAUUUUGUUAAUUGGAUGUCAAGGGCCCGAUGUUCAAUAUGGCUUAUUAAUCUCCUUCCAAAUUAGUCAAUUAAAUCCGUAAUUGUUUGAUUGAUUAAUAUUAGUGGCAACUGGCGUGUUUAUACACUAGGGGAACGUGCAAUCUAAUUUAAAUAACGCUCGUAGCGUGUUAUUGAUCGGGGUUAGGUUUUUCUAGUUAUUAAUGCAAUUGAAAAAUUAAUUCCUACGAUCGUACCUAGGAGUAUUUUCUGAUUAGGAAUAAUCAAUGGUCGUACCUUGAUUAUCAAUAAAUAAAAGAAAAAUUGGUCGUUAGAAUUCGUCGGCGACUAUAACUAGCCUAUUAAUAAAUUAAGUGAACCUCCCUUGCAUCAAUGAUCGAGUAAGUGGACUGUGUCUGAGUAGUUGUAUCAUUGGCUAGAAUUUAUCUAUUCUUGAUUUAAUUCCUGCCUAUAUUCGUGCAAGUUAAUUAUUUAUUUUUAGUGAAUUUUUUAAUUAUUUUUAGUUUUACUCCGAUAAAAUCCUCCUUUAUCAAUUGGAAUCUCAAAGAGACAAAUAUCCCCAGUCCUUGAGGAGAUGACUCUACUUGCCACUGUCUACUAUUUAGUAAGUUUUGUCAACUAAUUAAUUCUGAUAUAUCGGAUUAAGCAAACUUUUCGAGAAUAGGGUGAAUCAAGUAACCCAUUACACACCUAGAGUCCCUGCUCCAGUAUUUAGGAUUAAUUAUUGACUGUUUUUAGUGGUAUUUAUAUUUUUAUUAUUAUUAUUGCAUAGGCUCGACACCUGUCAAUUUUUGUGAUGUUGACCCAAACAACAAAGGACGGGUUAUGUGAUGUUGACCCAAAUAACAAGUCUUCACUAGUGAAUGUGAUAUUUGUGAUAUCCACCUCUUUAUUACCAGUGGGCACGUGAGUUAUCUCACAAGGAGAUUCGCGAGUAUCAUCCUUUGUUCUUCAAUAUCAUCAACUUGCGUUGUGUGACAUGAGACCAUAUCAAUAUCAAAGAAUCUUUUAGAUAUGAAUUCUUUUAAAAUGAUAGAAACUCGCGACUUUUGCUUGAAUACUUGAUUUUCUUGAAGAUUGUGAUUAUUAUUAUUUUUCUCUAUAUUCUUCUCUUUUCUCUUCCAGACCAUUCUACUUCUUGUUAAGGCCUUGUUUACCUUAUUAGAUGGACGAGAGUUUCAUCUUCAUCUUCGCGUGAUCAGAGUUCAUCCAUCAUCAUCUACGUCUGAUUGUAAUGACUUCUCAUCUUCAUAUUCAUAUUUUUGAAGAGCUGAAGGGGCGAUUUUUUGUUCAACUUCUAUAGGAUCAAAUGAUCCAAAUUGAAUGGUUGGCAAUAUAGGUAUCGUAAACUUUUCGACUUCCAUGGACUGUAGUGAAUCAACGGAGGUUUGAUUCAUACUUGCUUUGUUUUUUUCAAGAAAAUUUUUUUCUUGUCUUGCCAAAUCCAUCAUCUCAUCUUUAAAGACAAAGUAUUUUUGAAUGGGAUGUCCAACCAAGCAAUGAUACUUGAUUUGGAUCAUCCGUAUUACUAAUCUCGUCAAGUCAGUUCAUCUUGGAAGCAUGAUCAAGUUCAUGCUUAACAAAUUAUCAAAUAUACUAGGAACAUCAGAAUCAAGGAAAUUGUACUUCUUGUUUUGCAUCUCCUUGAGUGUUGGUUUUUUCUUUCCUUCGUCUUGAUGCAUACUGGUUUUCUUGUCUUCUCUUUUAGCAGUUCUGAGAAUAAUCUUGAAAGGUGUUAUACUUGCAGCUAUGGCCUCUUUCUCACUUUGAUUGGGGGCUUGCCUCCUUUCCUCACUUCUUGUUUCUCCUUAGCCUUGCGAGAAUCAGGAAUUGGCGGCUCUUGUCCAUCAAGGUUAAUUUCUAUCUUAUGAGUUUUUGGGGAUAAUUCAUCAAAUAUUUCUGGUUAUACCCCUUACAAGAUAUAUCUGAAUCCCCAAUGCAAGUCUUGAAUACACAUCUCAAUAGCGGAAGACUCGAAAAUUCGAUCCUUACAGUUUAGGCUUAGAUUUUUUCGAGCGAUUGAUAAAGUUAAUAACAUGUUCAUUCUUUCACUAGCACAUAUUUUAGAGUUCAAUUAUGCUGACAGUCCUUUUCGUGCUAUAGAAGCAAUUAAGGAAUUCCUACUCUAAUUGCUCCCAACUGUCAAUGCUGCUAGAUUCUAAAUCUGUGUACCAAUCAAACGUGUUACCCUUCAAUGAGUGAACAAAUUGCUUAACUAGCAAGUCACCAUUAGUGCCAGCAUUGUUACAAUUUUCGACAAAGUGCGCAAUAUGUUGUUUAGGGUUACCUUUGUCAUCAAAUUAUUGAAACUUUGAAAAUUGAAAUCCUACAAGCAUCUUCAAACAUUUACUCUUGUGGUGUAAGGUUUGAUAUAAUUGCUAUAUGACUUGGUAUUUCCACCAAUCUUGUCCUUGAUCGUACCUUUGAUAAACUCCUUUAAAUUAUCAACAUGAAUGGUACUAUCAGGAGAGAUUGAAAACUCCUUCAUUAUUCGUGACUUGGUAUCCUCUUUCUCUUUCUUCCUUGAUGAUGAGUUACCUUCAUAUUUUUUACCAUGGCCAUUAGUUUGGCUAUUUUGGCAUCUUGACUUUGCACGUGCCCUGCUAGCCCUUCGACAAUUUGGCAAGAUUUGAAAUUUGAUCUCUACGGUUGUGGUGUUAGUCAUCAUGAUGGGCAUUACCACAGAAGUAGCUAAAUUGCUUGAGCUAUCAGCAGAUUCAUCAUGGACUCCCUUCUUGUUGGGAAAAAUCUCAAAAUUUUUUCUUUCAACCACAGCAUUCGCCUUAACCCUAUCUACUAAUUUCUUAGCCUUGCUCCUUGUCAUAGGUGUAGUAUACUGCAUCUCCUGAGUUGUUGGGAUGCCAGCAACUGAGCCUUCAAGAGCAAAACUCAUCUUCUUGGACUCCAUUGAUUCUUGAAACAAGUAAGCUAUUCAAAGAAAAGAGAUGAAAAACAGAGAUGGUCCCACCAGACGUGUCAUAAAAUUUGUGAGCAUAAAUUUUGUUGCCUAAAAUAAAGACAAGAAAAUUUGCAUAAAUAUCAAAUUUAUUAAAUCAAAUAAUAAAUGGGUUAUAAUUUUUGAAAAUUCUUGAAUUAAAGAUAUUAAUCUUCUAAUUCUUCUCUUCAAAAACUUCAAUUGAAGGGUUGAAAAGACUUGUUUACCGAUCAAGAGGGUGUUUCCUACGAUUUUGACAUAGAAAACCGCUGAUUUGAUGAUGACGUUAAAUAGUUGAUGUUGGGUUUGGAUUUUAUUCCACCAAUCGUUCAUUUUGUUGGAUUUGAGUUUUAUACCACCAACUGUGGGAUAAAACCCAAUCCCAAUAAAAUGAACGGUUGGUGGGAUAAUACUCAAAUCCAAUAAAAUGAAUGAUUGGUGGGAUAAAAUCCAAACCCAACACUUGUAUCUUUAAAUCUUCAAUGUCGAUAGAAGGAGGAUUUAUUUUAACUUGAUUUGGAUUUGAAUUUAAGGGAAAAUGCUCUCGAGAGAAUUUGACAGAAUUUCUUCAAAAUUUAGAAAUUUCAAUGUGUUUUUGUACUAAGAGAAUACCUUUAUUUAUAGGCAAAAUAUGUAGAUUAUGUCUUCAAGAAAAUUCUCCAGAACCUUCUUGCGUUUGGGUAACUUGUACCUCAAGAAACUCAUUUAACUUAGGUUUAAAUAGUGGGCCUAUUCAAAUAAUCCAUUGUGAAUUAAUACAUCAAUUAAUCCACUUUAAUUUAAAUGGGUAACACAUUGAUUUGAUUUGAUUUAAUAGCCCAUAUAUCAUUGGUCUAUUUUGUCAAUCAAAACAUAAUAGACUGCUAUAAUUUAAUUUAAUGUAAUCAAGAUCAAUUUAAUUUAUUUAAUCUUGACUAAAUAAAUUUUCUUUGUCUACAGCAUGUACGUGUAAUUUUCCAAAUAAUGAUACUUUUCAAAGAGAGUUUUCAAAUAAUGAAAGUUCUAAAACAAGGCAUUCACCGAAUGCGUGAAUGUAUCUUUUUAAACAACGCAUUUAGUCAAUACGUUUUUAAGGAAAAAUGCCUAUACAAAUAAAAGAAUGAAUUCUAUAAAUGUGUCUUUUGAGGAAACAACACAUUUACUAAGUACGUUUUUUCACUCUUUGGGAAGAAGUUCAAAAAACACCACCAUUUGAAAGGUAAUUUUAGAAAAUCCCACUUUUUGAGAAUUUACUCAAGCUUGUACUUGACAAAAUGUGUUGGGAAAAUUGUGACGUCAGGUGAAUUGUAAAACUGUUGUGCCAUCGUAAUGUAUGUUUUGCACUAGAUUGAGUAAGAAUUAUAUCAAAAUAGUCGGCCACAAUAUAGGAAUGUGAAAACUUUGUGUUAAGUAAGUUGUAAUAUUUUUGUAUCAUCUAACGUAUAUUUGAAAACGAUUGAGAAUAUAAUAUAUGGAAACAACAGGUCACAAUGUUGAAAUGUCAAACCUCUUGUUUCAAACCAAAUACUUAUUAAACUCCUUCAUAUCGCUAACGAAUUUUGAUUCUGAAGUAAUAAUAGUUUUAUUUAAUUAUUUGCCUUUUUUGGAACAAUAUUAAAAUGUAGCCAUAAAUUUAAAUUCCAAAAUUGUUGAAUACUUGAGGAAUUCUAGAAAUGGCACUGAGAGUCAAAGUUCACCUUAUUCAAAAGUCACCAGCCAUCUCAGAGUGCAUGUUUCUAUUGAGUUUCAGGUUCAAUGUGUACCCACUUCCACUUUUGGCUGAUCAAUCAGGACUAAGGUUCCGUUUGAUAAAACUGAAUCUGAAUUCUGAAAUCUGAAUACUGAAACAAUUAAUUUGCUGAAUUUUAAGUUCUGAAAAGAAAUAUAUGAAUGUCUGAAUUUUAAUGUUAAAUCUAUUUCUACUGUUUGAUAAACAUUUAUAACUGAAUGCUUAAUAAGUUAAAUUUGACAAAUUUGCCCUUAAUCUUUUCAUCCAAAAAAGAAGUAGAACCUAUGAUUUAAUUAGGUAAAAAUGUUAGGUAUGAAAAUGACAAUAUUUAUUUUUAAAUCAAAUUAAUAUAAAAGAUGAAAUAUAUUAUAUGCGGAGUGGAGAAGAUGUAAAAAUCAUUCAAAAUGGAGAAAAAAGAAAUAGAAAAUCAUUAGAUAGAGAAUAUUAGAUUGUUUAAUUAGAUAAGAAUUUUGAACAUAAUUAACAAACAAUGGUAGAUUUGAUAGAUAAGAUAAGGUAAUUGAAGUAAUUCUAUUGAUUCUUAUCAGAAUUAAGUAUUCAGUUAGGAUUUUUGUGCUGAAAAAAAUACACACAAUUUCAGCACUACUUAACAAGUUCAGCAAAUAGAUUUUCAUUUAUCAAACAUUCAAAACAUCUAAAUGUCUAAAAAAAUUUAGAUUCAACACUUUUUUAUAUUAUUAAACAGACCCUAAGAGAAUAAAAUAACUUGCUUGCUGUUAGCGAUGGCAACGGGGCGGGGUUGGGGCGGGGGACCCCUCCCCCGUCCCCCGCCCCGUUGCCUAUUAGUUCCCCCUGUCCCCCGCCCCCCCCCCCGCUUCCCCCGCGGGGUUAAUAAAAUUUUAUUAUAAUUAAAUUUUAAUAAAUAAUCAAUUACUAAAAUAUCAACACAUCACCAAAUUAUUAUUCAUUGUAAUUUUACAAUUAAAACUCAUAAAAACAAUCAAACAAAAGUUAUUUGAAUACAAUCCAAUAUGAUGAAAUAAAUAUAACUAAAAUAGUUAAGUUUUCGCUUUUAGUACAAAUGCAAUCACUAAUUCAUUAUUGUGUUUGUGCUUUUCUUUUGAGAAAAAAGUGUUAUUCUAUUAAGUGUAAUUAGAAAUUUAGUAUAAAUGUAUUAGUAAAUUUAGUAUAACUAAUUAAUAAAUUUUAUUAGUAGACAUGUAUAAUUAUUCAUAUAAUUGAUAAUAUCAAUUAUAUUACAUAAACUACUAUACAUUAUAUAAUACAUCUAACUAAUAAUAUCAUUAUCAUAAGUUUAUAACUAAUUAACUUACAUAUUAUAUAUAAUUAUAUAUAUAUUUUUUUUAGGGUGGCGCGGCGGGGGAUGGGGCGGGGGUAUACUCCCCCGUCCCCCGCCCCGUUUCUAAGCGGGGGGAAAAAUUCCCCCCCCCGCCCCAACCCCCGCCCCGAGAGCCCCCCGUGGGCACCCGCCCCCAUUGCCAUCCCUACUUGCCGUUUUUAAAAAAGGAUUCAUUAUUUUUUCUUUGAGCAUUGGUAUCUCCACCCUCAAUGACACUAAUCUGGAUUCAAUAUGAGGAGUGUCCGUAGAGGCUGACUCUUACUCGAGAGUAAAGACUUGACCCAGAGCUUUUCAAGGCGUCAUCAUAUGUAGGAGUCAAACUUAUGAACUCUGUGCAUAGAUAAUUUAGCUCCAGUCUGUGGAAUGUCUUGAUGUUAGGUGAGUUGUAAUAUUUUGGUAUCAUCUAAUGAAAUUUUUAAAAGAUUGAGAAAUAAUAUAGAGCAAAACACCAAUUUAUUCCCUAAAUUAUUUUGCUAAAAUCAAAAUACUCCGUAAAUUUAUUUUGAGUCAGUUUAGUCCCCCAACUAUUUUUACAAAGCUGAAAUAGUCCUUAAACUUUAUUAUGAGCCAAUUUAGUCUCUCAACUAUUUUGUUUAAGUGAAAUAGUACCCCACCUUUAUUUAUUUGGCCAGUUUGGUCCUUGUUUGACUCAUCCACCCAAUUUAUCAACCUUGUGCACUAACAAUCAGGGGCAAAAUAAGAAAUUUAGUCAAUGCCCUUACUAAAAUGAUAGAAGAAUUAGAUAUCUGGCAAAAUUAAAAACAAAAUUGAAUCAUAUAGAGAACAAAAAAAUAUAGUGUUUCUUAUGGAGGAAAAAAAUGGAGCUGAUGCCUAAAAUCUCACAUGGAUCCAACUCAGUCCAUUGAAUGGAGAAAAGGGAAAAUAACACAACAAGAAUAUGUUAAAAGUUGGAAAAUGUGCUAUAAUUAUGAUUACUCCUUUAAGAAAUAAAGCUGAAAGAAGCUCAAUUUCUUUUUGUUUUCCAUAUUAUUCAAUUUCGUUGUCGAUUUUUCGAUAGAUGUAUGUUUUUUUUUUUGUUUUAAUAAGGGCUAUGAUUGGAUUUCCUAUUAUGCCAUUGGCUGUCGAUGCUACACUUGAUAAAUUAGAUGGAUCAUCCAAAUAAAGACAAAAUUGGCUAUGUAAACAUUAGUGAGGGACUAUUUCAGCUUAAGAAAAAUAGUUGAGGGACUAAAUUGGCUUAUAAUAAAAUUAGGGACUAUUUCAGCUUUGUAAAAAUAGUUGAGAGACUAAAUUGACUCAUAAAAUGUUUAGGGACUAUUUUGACAUUAAGGAAAUAGUUUUGGGACUAUAAACAUUAGGUCACAAUGUUGAAAUAUCAAAACCCAUGUUUUGGACCAAAACUCAUAGAACUUCUUCACGUCGCUAACGAAAUUUGAUUAUGAAGUAAUGCUAAUUUUAUUUAUUAUUUGUUUCCUUGCUGGUCUUCUGUCUUUUUGGUUAUUCCAAAAUUGUUGAAUAUUUAAACGAAUUCUAGAAAGGGCACUGAGAGUCAAAGUCUUAUUCAAACAGCCAGCUAUCUCAAAGUACAUAUUUUUUUAUUAUCAGGUUCAAUAUGUAUCUAUUGCAAUUUUUGAAUGACCAGCCAUGACUAAGAGAAUAAAAUAAUUCACUUGCUGUUUUUAGAUAUGAAUUCAUGACUGUCAGUAGUCUAUAAAUACACUUAUUGCUCACCACUCUUUGCACCGCAAAAUCUCUUCAAGAUCCAACAAACCCUCCUGUUCUUGGUCUUUGUCCAUUUGUGAAAAAACAAAUUAAAGCGUCAUGGCCCCUAUCACUUGUAGUGCUGAGAUGACCUCCCCAAUCCCUCCUGCAAGGUUGUUCAAGGCCGCCAUCCUUGAUGACCACCCUUAAUGCCACAGGCUAUUAAGAGUGUGGAAAUCCUUGAAGGAGAUGGUGGCGUUUGAACCAUUGAGUUGAGCACAUUUGGUGAAGGUUAGAUGUUAUAUUAAAUGUAGAACCCCAAAUUUAAGGAUCUAAUAAUAAUCAAUGCGUGCAGGGUUACAGAAUUGGAGGGAUAAAACAAAUACUCAAAAUAUACGUGGAAGAAAAGAAAAAUAAUAAAUUCAACUCACAAUAUUAUUGAAAUUUCAAACAAUGAAGAAAAUCAUACCACAAUGAAUUCAACUGGUUCUAAUAAUAAUCAAAGCAUACAAGGUUACAGAAUUAAAAGGAUAAAACAAACACUCAAAAUAUAUGUGGGAGAGAAGAAAAUAAUAAAUUCAACACACAAUAUUAUUGAAAUCUCAAACAAUGAAAAAAGUCACACCAUAAUAGAAAACCUUGCUAAUGCUUCUAGAUUCUUUCUCUUGAGAAACCAACCUAAAUAAUGUUCUAUUUAUAAUCUACCAAACUUGUUAGGAAAGAAACCACUUGCAUAAGAAAUUACCAAAUAAUACAGAAAUUCCUAAAUCACACAACUACUAAAAACAUAACUCAAAUAAAACUAAAAAAUAAAUAAAUAUUACUAGGCUUAGUUUAAUUUGUCAACAUUGCCUCCUUUAAACCAUACUAUCCAUUGAGAUAGGUUCAACACCAUCUCGAGCAAUAAUUUCUAUGCAAAUCUAUGUUGUAGUACACUUGACAUGAAACUCUAACUUGUUACCAGUUAUUAAUUUCAUUUUUACACGUAACAGUGGACACACUAUGUAUUGUGUAAACAACUUCUCAGCAAUUUCUUCUUGAUCAAAGAACUCACUUAUACAAACCCAUUCAUCACCAGAAUCACCAUAUUUACCACCAAUGUAAGUGCCUAAAAAUACAAAAUCAUAGAUUUCUUUCUCGCUAAAAUUAUCAUCACCAAAUAAUUCAAAAUAACCACUACUACAAUCAUCCAAAAUUUUCAUACUGUCAGUCAACUCUUUUGGAGUAAAAUAUUUUUCAACUCCGAUGACAUCCAUAUCUAUUAAAUCAAACAUUCUCCCAUCACUUUGAAGAGAGUCCGAACCAACGAAUUUUUCAACAACAAUUUCAUGUUCUCUUCUCUUAUCAAAUCAAAAUUUUUUUCUUCUUUUGUCAAAUUACCAUAUUAUUUUUUUCAACAAAUUCAUUACUUCUAAUUUCUCCAAACAAGGUACGCAAAUCAAAACUAUCAAUUGAUUCAAAAUUUUCGAUAUCACCCAUAUUAUCAACAAAUCUAUCAUUUUUAAAAUCCACAAACCAAUACCAAUAAAUAGACUUCGGUUUGAAAGCAUAAUUUCUCCCAAUCGUGUGCAAAACAUAGUAAAUAUCCUUCCAAAAUCUCUAAAGUAUUUUAAUUAGUACGACCAAUAAAGGUUUUAUAAACACUUUUUGCCAUUAUUUUACGCAUCACUUGAAAGAAUAAUUGUGCCUUUUUCUUAAAAACAUGUUUUGACAACUUACUUGCAUCAACCCAACAAAGAAUAUCAUCCAAAUUACAUUGUUUAACAUAUUUUUCCACUAUUAAAAUCCAACCAAAAUAUGUAUGUCCAUUUGUGCUUAUAGGAGUCAAUAUGAAAAAUUUUUCACCGUGAAUCAGAUCUUUAUAAUAUUCCAUUAUUUAACAAUUUGUAUACCUGGAUAAAUUUUUUUCCUCCAUCCUGUCAUGUUUUCUUGGCCUCCCUGGUUGACUAACCAAAUUAUUGUUGUAUGUAUACCCAUGCUCGUCAAACCUCAUUUGUGUACACUCGUAAGGAGUGGUUCUGAGCUUCUUGUGAAUGCUCAGUACCAAGAAGUAGAAGAGAGAAUGCAUAAGAGAGAAUUAACUUGGCUAUAGAAAUAGGAAACAAUUGAGGGAUUUUUUAAGAAAUUAAUUCUCCAGCUACCACUUUUGGAAAUUUUCUAUCAACAACUAGUUACCAAAACACUAGCACAUAAUAAGAAAUCAGGAUAAUUUCAGAAACCUCCCUUGAGGCUUUUAAUAACCUCAAGAAGCUCCCCUCAAUAUUUUAAAAUUACACGUACCUUCCCUAUUGGUGCAAAAGUACUCUACUACCCCUAAUAGGAUACUCAAAAGACUUUUUUUUAUGGGAAAAAUGAAGCUCAGAAAUCCAAGCAAAAUCAAAAAAAUCAAUUGAUUUUCUCUUUUAGCCUUUUACACUUUUGCCUUCUACCUUUGCUCACUUUCCCAUCCCAAUCUUCCUACACCCGCUUUCCCAAUCCCCUUUCCCCAACUUUUCUCCUCUACUUCAAGACCAAUUUUUGUCUAUCUAUCCUGGCUUGUGCUUUGUUCCAUUCCCUUCCCUUCUCCUUCUUUGAUUUCGCCUACAUCUCCCUUUCUCUUUGCAAAAGUGACUAGGCUCAUGUCUCUCUUUUUCCCCCCUAUUCUAAGUGUAGUGGGUUUGAUUAUUUUGCAUCUAUUUUAUUUGAUUUGGGUUGAUUAUGGGUGAUAGAACUUGGCGAUGUCAAAUAUCAAAAGUUUGAUAGAUGGAUAUUGGGCUUUAGACAAUGAUUUGCUGAAAAAAAUGGCUGCAAUGAGACAAAGAGGCAAGGGGAUUUGAGUGUGGGGUUGAUUGUUGAUAAAUUGUUGUUUUGGACAAAAUUUGAGGUUGAGUUUUAUUAAAUUUGAUAGCAAGUGGCGAGUUUUGUUCAGGUUGCGGGAAAUAAAUUAGAUUGUGGUUUCUUGGGCACCCACAGUUGUUGGAAUUGGUUUUGAUUCAAAUUAGGGUGGUUACUUGAUUUUCCUAAUAGUGUUGCUUAAAAGCACACGAUCAUCAAAAUUCCUUAUUUUUAUCUUUUGUUUUUUCUUGUAGAAAAGAUUUCACGACUUUCGUGAUAGUCUAAUUUGGAAGAAGGCAAUCAAGGGAUGCAAUCAACAUUUAGCAAAAGCUCUUGUUCUUUCCUUUGUAAUUUUUAGGGUAAAAAGGGUAGUUUAGGGUAUUUGAAGGAAAUGAUAGUCUAUUGGGUCUAUUUUCAAGCAUAAAUAGUGAACGUAAGGGAGGUUGGUGUAAUUUCUGAAACCUAAGGGAAAUUGUCUGAAAUUGUUCGAGACCUCAGAGGAGGUUUUCGAAAUUAUCCCUAAGAAAUCAAAUGCGAAACUUGAUUAGUACACGCACACACGACACCGCACCACGCCGCGCGUGUGUUGAGGAUUGGUGUCCGUAACCAACGACAAGCAGGUUUUCAAUUUUUUUUUCCUUUCCUGGAUUCUCCAGAGAUGGUGUCAGCUUCUAUUAUUGAUGAGCAGGAGGAAAUCCACAAUAUACAGUACACAUCACCCAUAUUCUUUUUAAUUGAACAAUGUAUGAAAUUAUGGUGAUUCGAAAUUAAAUUAUAUGUUUAUUGGGCACUGAAUCCAAAAUAAGAGUUGGAAAUGUAUUGUGACAACAAUUGUUAACAUAGGCCACAAAUGAUCAAAACAAAUAUUUAAGGUUUAAUAUGACAUUAUGGGUUCAGAAUAUAGUUACUUGUUAUGAAACAACUAAAAGUAUGGAUAUCCAUUUGUAUUUUCAAGAGGAUCAAUUCAUAAUUCAUUGCUCCCAAGAGGAUUAAUUCAUAAUACAUUGCUACAUUAUGUAAAGGAAUUGCAUUGGAUGAACGGUUUCAAUCCAUAAAAGCUAUUUAUGUAUUGGAUGAACCGUUUCAUAUGGCUAUUCAUGUUCUUGUAGUAAUGAGUGUUUAAUAGAAUUGAUGUACCUUUAAUUUUGUAGUACCUAUAUAUACAGGUACUUUGGCACCUCUUGGGUAUACUUUUUGAUUAGUUGGAAUAAUAAGAAAAUUAUUCUUCAUUUCUGUACUUCUUUCUCUAAUAUUUCAAUUCCUAUUAUAGUAGUUCAUUUUUUUUAGUUUUACAACACGUUAUUAGCAUGAGUCUCUACUUUUGAACAAAAAGGUGAAAACGGAGCCUCUACCUUAAAAAAAAGUGAAACACGAGAUUCUGCCAAAAUUUUGCCCGUAUUUUUCCGGCAACUUCUGUCCACUUAUUGAGAAAUGGAUGCCAAAUAUUUGGGAUUAAAUAAUGGUGAUGAUGAUAUUUGUCUCAUUGAUAGUGCUACUACGCACACUAUAUUGAAAAAUAAAAAAAAAAUUUCUUGUAUGAAAAUGGGAGAGACAAAUGUUAAUACCAUAACUGGUAGUGCAAAAUUGAUUGAACGCUCCGGAAUAGCCUCUCUAUUUCUUCAUGAAGGGACUAAAAUUGUCGUAAAUAAUGCACUACUGUCUCCCAAGUCUCGGAGAAAUUUAUUGAGUUUUAAAGAUAUCUGCGAAAAUGAAUACUAUAUAGGGAUAAUGACUGAGACAAAUGGAGAAUUUUUAUUAAUCACAAGUAUCAUUUCUGGGCAGAAAUGCGUAGUAGAAAAAUUACCUUCUUUUUCUUCUAGCUUAUAUUAUGCACAAAUUAGUGCAAUUGAAAUUUAUCACCUAGUAGACCAGAAGUCUACUCAUCCCAAUAAUUUUAUGAUUUGGCAUGAUCGUCUCGAAAAUACUGAAUCUAUAAUGAUGAGACGAAUAAUCAAGAAUUUACAUGGUCACUCAUUGAAAAAUUAAAAGAUAUUAAAAGCAAAUGAAUUCUCCUGUGUUGCUUGUUCCCACGGAAAAUUAAUUAUUAGACCAUCACCAGUUAAAGUUGGGACUGAAUUCCCUACAUUUCUAGAACGAAUUCAUAGUGAUAUAUGUGGACUCGUAGAUCCACCAUGUGGACCAUUUCGAUAUUUUAUGGUGCUAAUUGAUGCAUCAACUAGAUGGUCACAUGUAUUUUUAUUAUCUACUCGCAACUUGAUAUUUGCGAGAUUGCUUGCUCAAAUAAUUAAAUUGCGAGCACAAUUUUCAGACUAUCUAAUAAAGAAAAUUCAUUUAGAUAAUGCUGGUAAAUAUUCGUCACAUGCUUUUGACAAUUAUUGCAUAUCUAUUGGAAUAACUAUUGAACAUCUUGUAACUUAUGUUCACACACAAAAUGGUCUAGCCGAAUCAUUUAUUAAAUGGUUACAAUUAAUUGCUAGACCAUUGUUGAUGAGGUCUAAACUUCCUUCAUCUGCUUGGGAAUAUGCUAUAUUAUAUACAGCAAUACUUGUGAGAAUUAGACCGACAAGUUAUCAUACUUAUUUUCCUCUAUAAUUAACUUUUGGUUAUAAGUCAAAUAUUUCUCAUUUACGAAUAUUUGGUUGUUCGGUUUAUGUUCGAAUUGCACGGCCCCAAUGUCGUAAAUUGGGUCCACAAAGAAGAUUGGGGAUAUAUGUCGGAUAUAAAAUCACCUUUAAUUAUUAAGUAUAUGGAACCAUUGACAGGUGAUUUAUUUACUGCAAGAUUUGCAGAUUGUCAUUCUAAUGAAUCACAUUUUUCGACAUUAGGGGGAGAUAAAAAUCAAUCGAAAAAGAAAAUCACUUGAAAAAUAUCAUUCAAUUUUCUCGAUUCUCGUACCAAAGAAUGUAAACUAGAAGUUCAAAGGAUUAUACAUUUGCAAAAAAUUACAAAUCAACUACUGGACGUAUUUAAUGACUCCAGAAGAGUUAUUAAAUCACAUAUUUUUAUUGAAAAUACUCCGAUUAAAAUUAAUGUCCUUGAAGGACAAAUUACAAGUGUUAAUGAGUGUAAAGUGCGCCUGAAGCGUGGGAGACCUCUUGGUUCUAAAGAUAAAAAUUCUCGAAAGAAAAGAGAAAUUGAUGAAUCAACAAUUAGUGACAAAAUUCAACCUCCUGAAGAAGUCGCUCCUAAAGAGCCAAUUCUUGAAGAUAAUGAAAUUAUAGAAAAUUCAAUAAAUUUUGUCGCUUCAGGAAAAAGUUGGAACAAAAAAAAAUUAUUAAUAGUAUUUUUGCAUAUAAUGUAGCACUUGUUAUUAUGGUAGGUAAUGAAGAUCGUGAGCAUAGAUCGGUUGAUGAAUGUCGACGUAGAAAUGAUUGGCCAAAAUGGAAAGAUGCGAUUCAAUCUGAAUUGGACUUACUAGCUACAAGAAAAGUUUUUGGGCCUGUAGUCCAAACACCUGAAGGUGUAAAGUCAGUAGGAUAUAAAUGGGCAUUUGUGAGAAAAAGAAAUGAGAAAAAUGAAAUCGUGAGGUAUAAAGCAAGACUUGCAACCCAAGGAUUUUCACAAAGGCCUGGAUUUGAUUAUGAUUACACGUAUUCACCUGUAGUGGAUGCUAUCACAUUUAGAUAUCUUGUGAGUUUUGCAGGACAUGAAAAAUCAGAUAUGCAUCUAAUGGACGUCGUUACUGUAUAUUUAUAUGAAAAUUUUGAAAAUGAUAUUUAAACGAGAAUCCCUGAAGGAUUCAACAUGCCUGAAGCAUGCAAAUCAAAUUUUAAAGAUAUUUAUACUAUUAAAUUACAAAGGUAUUUGUAUGGGUUCAAACAAUCUGGACGUAUGUGGUACCGCCUCAAUGAAUGUUUAACUAAAGAAGGCUAUACCAAUAAUCUAAUACAUCCAUGUGUCUUUAUCAAGAAAAAUGGACUAAUUUUAUGAUAAUUGUUGUCUAUGUUGAUAAUCUUAAUCUGAUUGGAACUCUUGAAGAGAUUCAAAAUAGUGUUGAAUAUUUGAAGAAGAAGUUUGAAAUCAAAGAUUUUGGAAAAACAAAAUUCUACAUUGAUUUACAAAUUGAGUGAUAGGUUGCAAUUUUAUCAUUUAUUUUAUUAUUAAUUUUCCCUAUUACUUAACCCAAUGUGAAUUAAUUAUUAGAUUCUACUCACUUUUAGUAUUUUACAUAUAUUUCAGGGAGUAGAACGAAAAUACCAUAAUAAGUGCCGAUUUGACAGUUAUCAGGAAAGAGUUCAAGUAGCAGGCAUCCAGGGCAUUUUUGGAACAAGGAGAUACAAGUCCUUUUUGGUAAUUCGCAGAGCGCAGCAUUAAAAGGAGGAACGAAGGGCUGAAGUAGGGAGUCUUCUUCCCCCUGGGAGGAACCGCCGCACAGCAGAGGGCUGUCUGGUCCUCUUAGUUUUUCCGUUUCUUUAGUUUUAGCUUCGGAUUUUGACUUUUCUUCUCGUAGGAAUUUUGGGUAGCCUUGAGCUUAGCAACUUUUGUUGACCCUUUUUUGGCCUUUUAGCUAGUUUGUUCUUACGCAUGGAAGAUGGCUGAAUAGCUGAGGCUUGUUCUUUGUUUUUCUUUGACUUUUCCUUUUGGUUUGCUUCCUGCGGACGCCCAGACCGAAGGAAAACUAUGAAGUCCCUUUUGUAGCUUUCUCUCUUUAUUAAAUAGACGAAUUGAAUUCCCUCAACUUGCGAAUUGAUGGCCGCAGCUUUUGCUUCAAUUUCUUGUGGGUUUAGUUCAUUAAUUAUGAACUAAUUCUACAAUUCUAGUCAAGGGGACAACUGACGAUUUGGUUCGACAAUUACUGUGAGAUCGAAUCUGUUUUAAUUAUUUUCUUCAUUUAUUGGUAUUUAUAUGUUCCUUGAUUUUAAUUGCUAUGGCCUUGUGUAUGAUUGAUUAGUGCGCAAUAAUUAAUUAUUCAUAUAGGCUAUUUUGCUAAAUAGAGGUAAUUGAAUCCGUAAUUGUUCGUUAUCUCUAUCUUAGUAGCAACUGGCGUAAUUGGGUUUAUGUCAGGGGAGCAUAUGAUCUAGCUUAAACAAACCCUCGUAGCGUGUUUGUUGGUUAGGAUUGGGCCUUUCUAAUUAUUAAUGCAAUCUAGAAAUUAAAUCUUACGGUCGUACCUAGGGUUGUUUUUGGGUUAGAGAAAUAGCUAACGGUCGUACCUUAGCUAUCGAUAAAUUAAGGAAGGGUUGGUUGUUUAUCGCGUGCAUGACAACUAUAACCAAUCUAUUAAUAAAUGUUGGGAUUAUUUUUGCAUCAAUGAUCAGUGCAUGAACCAUUUCUGAAGUAUACCCUUGGCUAGAGUUUCUCUUAGUUAUUUCUUUUAAUUAAUUAUUUUCUGCAGUUAAUUUAUUUAGUUAGCAUUUAAUCCAAAACCCCCCAUACUUUGGACUCUAAAAGAAACAAUUACUCCCAGUCCCUGUGGAUUCGACCCUGCUCACCGCUAUCUACAGAAAUCACUUUUAGUUUGAGCAGGUAUUUAUUAUUGCACAGGCUUCGACGACCUGUCAAUCUUUGGCGCCGUUGCCGGGGACUGGUGCCAGAUUAAAUUGUUUCUUUUUGAGUUUAUCUUGUUUUCAUUUUUUUAAUUUAUUUUUCUCUUAUUUUUUAUUAUUAUUAUUAUUUUUUUUAUGGCUGCUAACAUUCCAUAUUUUGAUGAUAGACUGGAUUUUGUUCCUGAAUGGGGUUAUGAGACUCAUGUUUUUCCUAACGAUCAAUGGGCUGUUGCAAAUUGUGGAACUUAUUUUGACUCAAGUUAUUCAACUGACACAUGCCCCGUAUUUCAAGAUAAUUUAAGUUCUCCACUUGAUACUUUUGGAGAUUUUUCACCCCAAUAUCAAACGUGGUAUGACCCUUAUUCAAACGGGUAUGAUCAAGGAUGGUGGGAUAAUUCCAAUUUUGAUUAUGCGACCGGGCCAAUGGAUUUUCAACAGCAAGAGUCUCAGCAAUCAUCCUCCGUGUCAGGUAUGUCUCUUGAAGAAAUGAUAGGUUUACUAAUUGCUAAUUCAAAUCGAUUUCAUCAGGAGACACAAGCGAGCCUAAAUCGAUUUCAUCAGAGGACACAAGCGAGCUGUCGCGACCUGGCGGAUCAACUGCGUCAAUUGACAGCCAGGAUGCAGCGAUUAGAGGCUCACCUUGAAGAAUUGCCCUCGCAAACCAAUAUCAAUCUUGAGGAAGAUGAGAGUGCAAUUGUCCGGGCAAAUGACAUGGAACUGCAAGAGUUUCAAGAAAACGGAUUUAAAGAUGCAGUUGAAAAGGAAGCUGAAGUGCAAGAAAUGAGACUCCAAGAUCAACUCGUUCAAGUGAAUGAAUCCAGUGAACAAUCUCCAAAUGCGGUGACAUCUUCUCCACUCCUUAAUCAAUAUUUUCCUGGCUCCUAUUCUUCAACUCCUGUUACUGAAAUUGAUUUUAUUAUACCAGAAAAUUUAAAAUUUCAUGACAGGAAUAAGUUAAGAGUGGAGAUGGCAAAAUAUCUUGAACCAAUGAAUGCGUGUGAUGGAGGAGUGAGUGGAGAAUGCAGAUCAUUGUUGACUUGUUUAGCGCCAUUUACUAGUCCAUGGAAGCCCGUAACUCGUGUGCCCAAGAAUUACUCCAUCUAUGAGGGUUACCAGGAUCACGUUGAAGAUGAAGCAUUGAAGCGAGCCACAAGAUUUUAUCCUCCAUGAGCAAAACAUGAUAAUGUCUAGCCAAAGACAUUAAAGAAAGGCGCUCAUUGGGAGGCAACCCAAUUUCUUUUAGUUGUUUGUUUGAUUUUAUUUGUUAGUUUAAAUCUGUCUUCCUUGAAUUUGACUGAUUUUGGGUGUUAAUUUUCGUUUUUACUGAUUUGUAGGUGACCUUCAGUCAUGACGCGCCCGCGUGGUGACGUGCAGGAAGCUCACGAUCAGAAACUUCUGGGAGCUCUCUUACCCUCAUGACGUGCCCGCGUCAAGUCACCUGGAGAGUUCCAGAUUCCGUGCCUUCAUGGUGUGCCCACGUCACGUUCACGGGAGAGAUAAGUAUUUAAAAAAAAAAUUCAAAAACGAUUGUUGAUUGUUGGUUAUCUCUGCUUUUGAAUCUCGAAAAUAAAAUUUGCUAAUGAAAAUAAAUUUCAAAAAAAUAAAAAAAAAUUUUUUAAAAAAAAAAAUUUAAAUUUUUGUUUCACGGUAGCUUAGAUUUUCAAAUCCUAAAAAAAAAAAAAAACACAGAAACUCUUUCUUAUCAACGUAGCUUUAGUGUCAAAUAUUUUAAAAAAAAAAAAGUCUCAAAUGAAAAAAAAAAAGGGCUUUUCUUUUUCUUUCUUUUCUUUCUUUCUUCUUCUUUCUCUUUUCUGUCUUCCUUCUCCCCUGUUUCUUCUUCCUCUCUGUUGACCGAAGCCCUCUGUCCGCCGCCGCUGCUGAAGCGCCCUCAGCCGUCGCGCAGCAGCUCCUCACUCGAAGACGCCGCGGCCACAGCACCUCUGCACGCGGCCUCCACCUCUCCAUCGCGCGCCGUCAAGAGCUCCGCCGACCCACGACGCGCGAGGCACCAGCUCGCGCGCCUCCCCCACCUAGCAACUGCUGGCCGACCAGCCCCACCACCAGCCCGCGCCGCACCUGCUGGCCGACCUAUCAACUCCUAAGCUCGCGAACCUCCUCAGCUCAGCUCCACCAGCGAGCUGCUCCUCGCUCACUCCAUCGCGUGAAGACCAGGCGAGCACGGCCCGCAGCCUCUCACCGCCACUGCGCACCUCUGACCAGCUCGCAGCACCUCUCUCUGCCCUCCGUGCGCUGCCCGCGCGUGGCACCAGCGCCUCCACAGCUCGUCGACGAAGCCCAAGCUGACAGACCACGCCGCUCGUCCACUUCCACCACUCGCGACGCACAGAUCAGCGCUGCCGUUGGUUGCCCAACCUCCCUGGUGCCAGGUUUUUCUUACUAAUUUUGUGGUCUACGAUUCCAAUUUCUUGAUGAUGGGAUUUUUGAUGAUUACGAUUUCAUUGAGUAAAUUUGAUUGGCUUGCAUCUGUGUUACUGGAGCCCGUGGGUUGGGUUAUGACCUGCAACUGAUUUGCCUAGUCUAAUAUAAUUGUCAUUUGUUUGGGCUCUUGAAGUACUGUCUAGUGUUGUUUGUAUUUCUUAGUGAAUUGAGUUUGCCGUUUGAUUUCAUUCUUCCCUGUGCGUACACCAGUGGUACUGGUUGUGGUAGUUGCCUAACAUUUAUUCAUUCUCAUUGGUGUGGCUGUUGGGAUUGAAAGCUCAGAACUUGUGACUAAGUUGUUAUUGCCUAAAUGCUGACCUGCUAUUACUAGACUUGCUGAUUUCUUGGGAGCAUUUGUUGGGAUUUUGGGUGGAUAUUAGCAAGUGGUAUAUUGCUUGAUUUUUUUUACCUGUGCCUUGCUUGGAGUUUCUAGUGCAUGUUUGGGGCUGCCUUGGGAGUUAUUUGCCACAAUUGAUUGCCGUUUUGGUUUCUUCUGUUUCUGGUACUGCUUGUGCUGAUGGAUUUAUCAGUGUUUUGGGCGGCUUAUUUGAAUUGCUUCUUCCCUGUGUGUUUGGUCAGCUGUUUGCUUGAAAACCCAAACCCUUGUGCUUAUAUUUGCUCCCAGUUGAGUUAUGUGUUGGACUUUCCAAUUGGUGACAACUUUUGGGCUUUAGGGGUGAGUUCAUUUUGUCAUUAUUUGCUACCUUGUUGGGGUCAUUUUUGGUUUCACCUGAGUCUAUUGUCCUGCCUUCUGUUUUGAGUCCAUUGGAGUGACGUGAGUUGAGUAAUUUCUGCUUUUGUUUGUUGAUUUGGAAGGCUACUGUGCCACUUUCAUUGCUUAUUGCUUAGUGAUUAUGUCUAAUUAACAAUGUGCAUAGCAUGGCGCAGAAUUUGGCAGCAUUCAUGUAGCAUGCCGGUCUUAUACCUCAAUUGGGUACCUCUAUUUGGUUGGCUGCGUUCUUAUUGUCCAAUAUCUAUGCUGUUUUCAAUGGAAUUGCUGAUCUUGGGUUAAGACUUUAGCUGGCCAACUGGAGCCAUUUGUUGAGAUUUUGGGUGAACUGCAAUACUGCACUCGUUUGUUCAAUUGGGAGGUUUCUUUUGGUAUUCUGGUUGAGUUAUUUCUAAAGUUGCCUGAUGAAUUGAGAGACAUAGAUGGCUAUUGCUCUGCCCUGAUAUUGCUUGGUUGCCAGUGCGCAUUCUCUAUGCCAAGUGGCAAGGAUGUCUCAGAACUCGGCUUCCCUCCACUGUUCCCUCCUAUCCCUUAGCUGUUCAGCAGGGAAGUCUCGUUAUCCUCUUCGCUUUAAUUAUUUUAUUACCUCCAUUGAGGACAAUGUAGGAUUUAGGUGUGGGGGGAGCAGUUAUGGUGCUAGUGUCUUUCGUUCAUUUUCUUUUUCUUCUUUUUAGUGAUUGGCUCGUAAGUGCAUGCCAAGGUUUGAUGUUGGAUUAUUGCCUCUAUUUCUACUUUUGCCAAGUUUUAAUAAUAAAAGGGUAUCAAGUUAAUGUGGUUGAAUCCAAAAACAUCUCUUUGGUGAAUAUCAAUAAUUGUUUUACUCUUAUAAUUUUUUGGUUAACUUUCCUAGGCAUAGGGAAUGAUUAUUGGCAUUUUUAGUGAAUUGGUCCGGUUAUUAACCUUAGUUCUCCAUGUUUGAAAAUGAGGCUAGCUGAUGCAAGUUUUCUUUUGGUUCUUGUGUUAUAUUGAGUUUUUGUGAUUUUUAGCUCUGAAUAAACUUGACUGUACUCCGCUAUUAGUUACUACUGAGUAACCGGGGAUCUGCACCUAAAAGUGUUGAUUCUCGCGUCAAAAGAUAGUAGUUCCUAUGAGUACGUGGUCACGUGGCGAUAGAAGCUGAGUAACCGGGCUCCUUCAUCUGGCCAAUGUUGGAAUUCGCGUCAAAAGGCUCUAAUGGCUAGCGACUAAGUCUUUUGUUACUAUUGAAAAAAAACGAGAAAGAAGAAGAAGAAAAAAAAAAGAAAAAAAAGAGAAAAGUAGAAAAAUGUGAAAGAAAAAGUGAAUGCUGUGUUAGUGUAUAAUAAAAGUCAGCUUGCCGAUUUAUGGAUUUAAUGUUGAGAUUUUGGUUAAUAGUUGGACCAUUUGCUGAUAACUGUUAUGCGUCAUUCCUUUUUCUUAGAUUGGUUAACAUGAAAUUAGAGGAAUUUAUGGUUUAGAAGCUAACCGGAGUGAUGUUUCUUGGACUAGACCAUUGAUGCUUGAUUAUUAUAUUUUCUUGGUAUCUUGGCAAUAUGGUAGAUGGAGUAAUAGCCAUUGGCAAGUGUUGGUGUUUAUUUGCUGUUCUCAUGCUUGAGGACAAGCAUGGUUUAGGUGUGGGGGGAAUUGAUAGGUUGCAAUUUUAUCAUUUAUUUUAUUAUUAAUUUUCCCUAUUACUUAACCCAAUGUGAAUUAAUUAUUAGAUUCUACUCACUUUUAGUAUUUUACAUAUAUUUCAGGGAGUAGAACGAAAAUACCAUAAUAAGUGUCCGAUUUGACAGUUAUCAGGAAAGAGUUCAAGUAGCAGGCAUCCAGGGCAUUUUUGGAACAAGGAGAUACAAGUCCUUUUUGGUAAUUCGCAGAGCAGCAGCAUUAAAAGGAGGAACGAAGGGCUGAAGUAGGGUCUUCUUCCGCCUGGGAGGAACCGCCGCACAGCAGAGGGCUGUCUGGUCCUCUUAGUUUUUCCGUUUCUUUAGUUUUAGCUUAGGAUUUUGACUUUUCUUCUCGUAGGAAUUUUGGGUAGCCUUUAGCUUAGCAACUUUUGUUGACCCUUUUUUGGCCUUUUAGCUAGUUUGUUCUUACGCAUGGAAGAUGGCUGAAUAGCUGAGGCUUGUUCUUUGUUUUUCUUUGACUUUUCCUUUUGGUUUGCUUCCUGCGGACGCCCAGACCGAAGGAAAACUAUGAAGUCCCUUUUGUAGCUUUCUCUCUUUAUUAAAUAGACGAAUUGAAUUCCUUCAACUUGCGAAUUGAUGGCCGCAGCUUUUGCUUCAAUUUCUUGUGGGUUUAGUUCAUUAAUUAUGAACUAAUUCUACAAUUCUAGUCAAGGGGACAACUGACGAUUUGGUUCGACAAUUACUGUGAGAUCGAAUCUGUUUUAAUUAUUUUCUUCAUUUAUUGGUAUUUAUAUGUUCCUUGAUUUUAAUUGCUAUGGCCUUGUGUAUGAUUGAUUAGUGCGCAAUAAUUAAUUAUUCAUAUAGGCUAUUUUUUGCUAAAUAGGGGUAAUUGAACCCGUAAUUGUUCGUUAUCUCUACCUCAGUAGCAACUGGCGUAAUUGGGUUUAUGUCAGGGGAGCAUAUGAUCUAGCUUAAACAAACCCUCGUAGCGUGUUUGUUGGUUAGGAUUGGGCCUUUCUAAUUAUUAAUGCAAUCUAGAAAUUAAAUCUUACGGUCGUACCUAGGGUUGUUUUUGGGUUAGAGAAAUAGCUAACGGUCGUACCUUAGCUAUCGAUAAAUUAAGGAAGGGUUGGUUGUUUAUCGCGUGCAGGACAACUAUAACCAAUCUAUUAAUAAAUGUUGGGAUUAUUUUUGCAUCAAUGAUCAGUGCAUGAACCAUUUCUGAAGUAUACCCUUGGCUAGAGUUUCUCUUAGUUAUUUCUUUUAAUUAAUUAUUUUCUGCAGUUAAUUUAUUUAGUUAGCAUUUAAUCCAAAACCCCCCAUACUUUGGACUCUAAAAGAAACAAUUACUCCCAGUCCCUGUGGAUUCGACCCUGCUCACCGCUAUCUACAGAAUUAAUUUUAGUUUGAGCAGGUUUUAUUAUUGUACAGGCUUCGACAACCUGUCAUUGAGCAUUUGAAAAGUGAAAUUUUUGUCCACCAAACUGCUUAUACCCGGAAGGUAUUAAAGUAGUUUUAUAUGGAUAAGGCAUAUACAUUAAGUACCCCAAUGGUCAGAUCAUUAGAUCCUAAUAAGGACCCUUUUAGACCGCGAGAGGAAGUUGAAGAGAUACUUGGUCCUAAAGUACCAUAUCUCAGUGCAAUUAGUGCACUAAUGUAUCUUGCUAAUUGUACAAGACCUGAUAUAUCAUUUGCAAUAAAUUUAUUAGCAAGAUUUAGUUCUCGCUCACAAGACGACAUUGGAAUAGUAUUAAACAUAUUUUUUGUUAUCUCCAAGGAUCAAUUGAUCUUGGCUUAUUUUAUUCAAAUAAAUCUAAACUUGAAUUGUUUGGUUAUGUUGAUGCUGGAUAUUUAUUUGGCCCACAUAAAGUAAGAUCUCAGACUGGUUAUCUAUUUACAUAUGGAGGUACAACCAUUUCUUGGCGAUCUACAAAGCAAUCAUUAGCUGCCAUUUCAUCGAAUCAUGCUGAAAUAAUAGCAAUUCAUGAAAUUAGUUGAGAAUGUGUUUGGUUAAAAUCAAUGACCCACUAUAUCCGGAAAAGUUGUGGGUUAUCCUCCGAAAAAGAAAAUCCUUCAACUAUAUUAUAUAAAGAUAAUGCAGCUUGUAUAACUCAAUUGAAAGGAUGAUAUAUUAAAAGAGAUAGAACGAAAUAUAUUUCACCAAAAUUCUUUUUUACUCAUGAUUUACAAAAGAAUGGUGAAAUUGAUGUGCAACAAAUCUGAUCAGAUAAUAAUUUGACAGAUUUAUUUACCAAUGCAUUGCCAACUGCAAUAUUUAAGAAAUUGGUGAAGAAUAUUGGAAUGCGACGACUAUAAGAUCUCAAAUGAUAUUUGCAUCCGGGGGAACAAUCAAUACACAAGAAUAGUGUACUCUUUUUCCUUCAUUAAGGUUUUUAUCCCGUUGGAUUUUUUCCUAGUAAGGUUUUAAUGAGACACAUUCUUUGUGUAAUGGACAUCCAAUGGGGAGUGUUAUGAAACAACUAAAAAUGUGGAUGCCCAUUUGUAUUCUCAAGAAGAUCAAUUCAUAAUUCAUUGCUUCCAAAAGGAUUAAUUCAUAAUUCAUUGCUACAUUAUAUAAAGGAAUUACAUUGGAUGAACGGUUUCAAUCCAUAAGAGCUAUUCAUGUAUUGGAUGAACCAUUUCAUAUGGUUAUUUAUGUUCUUGUAGUAAUGAGUGUUUAAUAGAAUUGAUGUACCUUUAAUUUUGUAGUACCUAUAUAUAGAGGUACCUUGGCACCUCUUGGAUGUACUUUUUGAUUAGUUGGAAUAAUAAAAAAAUCAUUCUCCAUUUCUGUACUUUUUUUUCUAAUAUUUUAAUUCCUAUUAUAGUAGUUCAUUUUUUUUUUAGUUUUACAACAUUACUCAAAGAAGAGGGUUAUUGGACUAUAUGUUUAUUGACCUCUACUAGGGAUGACAAUGGGGGCGGGUGACGGCAAUGGGGGCGGGUGACCGCGGGCACCCGUCCCGCGGGGGGCUAAUGGGGAGAGGGAUGGGGCCGGGGCGGGGGGUAGGGGAGUGUACCCCCGCCCCAUCCCCCGUCCCGCUACCCGCUUUAAAAAAAUAAAUAUAUAAAAUAUAUAUAGGUAUAUAAUUAUAUAUAUAAUAUAUAAUUUAAUUGGUUACAAACUUAUGAUAAUAAUAUUAUUAGUUAUAUGUAUUAUAUGAUGUCUAUUAGUAUAAAUAAUAUAAUUGAUAUUAUUAAUUAUACUAAUAAUUAUAUAUGUGUACUCAUACAAAUUAUUAAUUGGUUAUACUAAAUUUACUAAUACAUUUAUACUAAAUCCCUAAUUACACUUAAUACAAUAACAUUAUUUUCAUAAAAAAAACACAACCACAAUAAUGAAUUAGUGAUUGUAUUUGUACCAAAAGUGAAAAUUUGAUUACUUUAGUUAUAUUUUUUUCAUCAUGUUGGAUUGUAUUCAAAUAAUUUUUGUUUGAUUGUUUUUAUAAGUUUCAAUUGUAAAAUUGCAAUGAAUAAUAAUUUGAUGAUGUGUUGAUAUUUUAGUACUUGAUUAUUUGCUAAAAUUUAAUCAUAAUAAAAUUAUAUAACAAAUUUUUAUUAGCUCAGCGGGAGCACCCGCCGGAGAAGCGGGGCAGGGUGGGGACGGGGCGAGGGAAGCGGGGGAUGGGGGAGGGGUCCCCCGCCCCAACCCUCUUCCCCAUCUCCCGCCCCGUUGCCAUCCCUAACCUCUACUAACUUAUUUAAGGUCAUUUUAUAUCACUAUCCAAAGAAGAAUUAAGGUCAUUUUAUAUCACUAUCCAAAGAACAAUUCUUGGGCGUUAACAUUUUUCUUACAUGCCAAGACUAUUAAUGAAAGUUGACCCAAAUCUCUCUCUCUCUUUCUCUCAAUUCUUAGGACUGAUGCCAAUUCUUACCAUUUAGAAAGAAAAAUUAGAUUGUUUAUAUAUAUGAUGAGUUCCCUCUAAGUCAUGGUUAAGAAAAAUUCUUAGUUAGACGCAGUUUUAUGAAAUGUGAAUUUCCUUUUCUUUGUCUUUAUUCGUUAGUAUUAUUGGGGUUAUUGUAUUAUGAUUGCAAUGCACAGAUACAUGGAUUUUUGACAUUUUUUUCUCAUUUUUUCUUUUUAAUUGACUCUGACUAUGUCUCAAACUCGAGACAUCAAACCUGGAGAAGACUUUUGUCCAAAAUGCUUGUAAAAAUUCAGAAGAAUAAUGUUGGACCUUAUUAUUUAAUAAUGGUGCAAUUAUGAGAGUCAUUCCUGGUUUAAUUAUCAACAUCAUGUCAUUAUUAUUUUUUUGUUUCAUAGAAAAAUAAAGUAUUCUCCGACUCGACAUUAUCAUAUUAUUUUCAAUUGGCAGCUUUAAGUGAGAAAGGCCGGUGAAAAUUUUGGGCAUUACUAGUUUAUUUAGGCCUCACGCGCUCCGUGAAGGUGCCGACGUCAUCUUCGUUUUAAUGGAAAAAUUUGAGCGCGCUUUGAUCAUAAGGAAUUCACAAUCAUCGGGCCAACAAAGAAAGCACUAAAUGGUUAAAACAAACCAUGCAAAUUUGCUCAGCACUUAAACAAUAGACUCCUAAACCGACCAUUUUACUGUCUUGCCAAAAAAGGGCAUUAAAGUAAAAACAACCCAUGCCUAACACAACUAACAAACUUCAGCACCUUCACUUCACUGCCACGUCAUCAACAACAUCUGUAAAUUUCCAAGGAAGUCCACGCACUAAAGGUGCCAUGGGGGACCUCAGGUUAGUGUUCUUAACAUCAACUCCUGUCUUUAUAUUCUUAGGAAAUAUUGAAAUUAAACAUUAUAACUAAUCCUGAUUUCCUUAUGCUGUAUUUGUACACAAUUUGGCAACUUGAUAAAAAGUUUGUUCCAAUUUAUUCCAAUUUAAUUUGUCAGCUAGUCGAAUCUAAUUUGAAUAGUAUUUAACUUUGAAAUUUGAUAAAAAGUUUGUUCAAACUUGGUUUACUAAAUAAACAAGUUAAGUUUGAACAAAAUUUCAAACUUAUUAAAAUAAUUAAAUACGUUUGAAUACUAGGGUAUUCAAUUUAAUUAGACUCGUUUGCACCCAUAAUUAAAGCAUGCACUUUUUUAUAAAUUUAGGAAUCAACAUUAUCUAUUUGAUAGCUAGCUAAUGGCCCAAAAAGUUAAUUGCCUUAAAUUCUUUUAGCAGCCAUAAAGUAUAGUUGGAGGGAUUCCCUUGAAAUUGAUUAGAUUCUUCUAUGUGACUGUGACGUAUUACUAGUCCUACCCAAAAAAAAAUGGUAUUACUAGUCCUUUUUUCUUUUUGUGGCGUGCCACCGCCGUAGGGGGCGGGGAGGGCAGUCAGUGCGAGAAUUCUAGAUGGGGUAGAAGUAGCCAAAGUUCACCUUAUUCAAAGUAAACAACCGACAAUCUCAGUUGUCGACUUUCCUGUCGAUUGCGUAUAUAUUACUAUCUUUUACCAUGACUUUAGAGGAUACCUAAUUUUGCUUGCUAUUAAAUAAUAAUUCCUGGCACCACAUAAUUCUUUCAAGAACUACCAAAACCUUCUUGAAAUCCCUCUUUUUCCUUUUAGUUCAUUUCCAAGAAACAAAUUGAACCAUCAUGGCCCCUGUCACUUCCAGUUAUGAGGUCACCUCCUCAAUCCCUCCUGCAAGGUUGUUCAAGGCCACCAUCCUUGAAGAGAAGCAUCUUCACAAGAUCUUGCCACAGGGCGUUAAGAGUGUCGAAAUCCUUGAAGGAGAUGGUGGAGUUGGCACAAUUAAGUUGACCACAUUUGUUGAAGGUAAGAUAUCAAUACAAAGUGAUUAUUUUCACACAUUUGAAGUCCUCAAAAUGUUCUUUUUUUUUUUUAACAUUUUAUUUGUGGGGGUAAGUAUGUAUGUAAGCCCUAAUAACCUUUUUUUUUUUGUUGGGUUAAAUAUUUAGGUGGCGAGCUUAAGACUGCCAAACAGAGAGUUGAUGGAAUUGACAAAGAAAAAUUUACAUACAGUUAUACUGUACUUGAAGCUGAUGGAUUUAACGAUGUAAUCGAGAAAAUCUGUUGUGUCAUCAAAUUUGAACCCUCUGCUGAUGGAGGUUCAAUCUGCAAAACCACUAAUACAUACUACCCCAAAGGUGGUGCUCAGAUCAGUGAGGAACACCUCAAGGGAGGAAAAGAGAAGGGUUUGGGAAUGGUUAAGGCUGUUGAGGCUUACCUCCACGCAAAUCCUACUGCCUACAACUAAUUAAAAUGAAUGCUACUGAAGGACUCUUCGACAUAUUUUCUUCAAGAUUGAAGUAUAAACUGAGGGUGUCUGUUUCCUUUUUUGCUUGGUUUGCUUAAGCUGUUUGGUUAAGUUAUUCGCAGCAAGAGAAUAAAAUAAUUCACUUGCUGUUUUUAGAUAUGAAUUCAUGACUGUCAGUAGUCUAUAAAUACACUUAUUGCUCACCGCUCUUUGCACCGCAAAAUCUUUUCAAGAUCCAUCAAACCCUCCUGUUCUUGAUCUUUCUCCAUUUGUGAAAAAACAAAUUAAAGCAUCAUGGCCCCGAUCACUUGUAGUGCUGAGAUGACCUCCCCAAUGCCUCCUGCAAGGUUGUUCGAGGCCGCCAUCCUUGAUGACCACCUUCUUCCCAAGAUCAUGCCACAGGCUAUUAAGAGUGUGGAAAUCCUUGAAGGAGAUGGUGGAGUUUGAACCAUUAAUUUGAGCACAUUUGGUGAAGGUUAGAUGUUAUAUUAAAUGUAGAACCCCAAAUUUAAGGAUCGAAUAAUAAUCAACGCAUGUGGGGUUAUAGAAUUGAAGGGAUAAAACAAAUACUCAAAAUAUACGUGAAAGAAAAGAAAAUAAUAAAUUCAACUUACAAUAUUAUUAAAUUUUCAAACAAUGGAAAAAAUCAUACCACAAUAAAUUCAGCUGGUUCUAAUAAUAAUCAAAGCAUACAAGGUUACAGAAUUAAAAGGAUAAAACAAACGCUCAAAAUAUAUGUGGGAGAGAAGAAAAUAAUCAAUUCAACACACAAUAUUAUUGAAAUCUCAAACAAUGAAAAAAGUCACACCAUAAUAGAAAACCUUGCUUAUUCUUCUAGAUUCUUUCUCUUGAGAGACCAACCUAAAUAAUGUCCUAUUUAUAAUCUACCAAACUUGUUAAGAAAGAAACCACUUGCAUAAGAAAUUACGAAAUAAAUUAGAAAUUCCUAAAUCACACAACUACUAAAAACAUAACUCAAAUAAAACUAAAAAAUAAAUAAAUAUUUCUAGGCUUAGUUUAAUUUGUCAACAUUGCCUCCCUUAAACCAAAUUAUUCAUUGAGAUAGGUUCAACACCAUCUCGAGCAAUAAUUUCUAUGCAAAUCUAUGUUGUAGUACAUUUGACAUGAAACUCUAACUUGUUACCAGUUAUUAAUUUCAUUUUUACACGUAACAAUGGACGCACUAUAUAUUUUGUAAAAAAUUUCUCAGCAAUUUCUUCUUGAUCAAAGUACUCAUUUAUACAAACCCAUUCGUCACCAGAAUCACCAUAUUUACCACCAAUGUAAGUGCCUAAAAUUAAAAAAUCAUAGGUUGCUUUCUCGCUAAAGUUAUCAUCACCAAAUAAUUCAAAAUAACCACUACUACAAUUAUCCAAAAUUUUCAUACUGUCAGUCAACUCUUUUGGAGUAAAAUAUUUUUCAACUCCGAUGACAUCCAUAUCUAUCAAAUCAAACAUUCUCCCAUCACUUUGAAGAGAGUCCGAACCAACAAAUUUUUCAACAACAAUUUCAUGUUCUCUUCUUUUAUCAAAUCAAAAUUUUCUUCUUCUUUUGUCAAAUUACCAUAUUAUUUUUUUCAACAAAUUCAUUACUUCUAAUUUCUCCAAACAAGGUAUGCAAAUCAAAACUAUCAAUUGAUUCAAAAUUUUCGAUAUCACCCAUAUUAUGAACAAAUCUAUCAUUUUUAAAAUCCACAAACCAAUACCAACAACUAGACUUCAGUUUGAAAGCAUAAUUUCUCUCAAUCAUGUGCAAAACAUAGUAAAUAUCCUUCCAAAAUCUCUAAAGUAUUUUAGUAUGACCAAUAAAGGUUCUAUAAAUACUUUCUGCCAUUAUUUUACGCAUCACUUGAAAGAAUAAUUGUGCCUUUUUCUUAAAAACAUGUUUUGACAACUUACUUGCAUCAACCCAACAAAGAAUAUCAUCCAAAUUGCAUUGCUUGACAUAUUUUUCCACUGUUAAAAUCCAAUUAAAAUAUGUAUGUCUAUUUGUGCUUAUAGGAGUCAAUAUGAAAAAUUUUUCACCGUCAAUUAGAUCUUUAUAAUAUUCCAUUAUUUAACAAUUUCUAUACCUGAAUAAAUUUUUUUCCUCCAUCCUGUCAUGUUUUCUUGGCCUCCCUGGUUGACUAACCAAAUUAUUGUUGUAUGUAUACCCAUGCUCGUCAAACCUCAUUCGUGUACACUCGUAAGGAGUGGUUCUGAGCUUAUUGUGAAUGCUUAGUACCAAGAAGUAGAAGAGAGAAUGCAUAAGAGAGAAUUAACUUGGCUAAAGAAUUAGGAAACAAUUGAGGGAUUUUUUAAGAAAUUAAUUCUCCAACCGCCACUUUUGGAUCUUUUCUAUCUACAACUAGUUACCAAAACACUAGCACAUAGUAAGAAAUCGGGAUAAUUUCAGAAACCUCCCUUGAGGCUUUUAAUAAUCUCAAGAAGCUCCCCUCAAUAUUUUAAAAUUACACGUACCUUCCCUAUUGGAGCAAAAGUACUCUACUACCCCUAAUAGGAUACUCAAAAGACUUUUUUUAUGGGAAAAAAGAACCUCAGAAAUCCAAGCGAAAGCAAAAAAAUCAAUUUAUUUUCUCUUUUAGCCUUUAACGCUUUUGCCUUCUACCUUUGCUCACUUUCCCAUGCCAAUCUUCCUAUAACCACUUUCCCAAUCCCCUUUCCCCAACUUUUCUCCUCUACUUCAAGACUAAUUUUUGUCCAUCAAUCCUGGCUUGUGCUUUGUUCCAUUCCCUUCCCUUCUCCUUCUUUGAUUUCCCCUACAUCGCCCUUUCUCUUUGCAAAAGUGACUAGGCUCAUCUCUCUCUUUUUUCCCCUUAUUCUAAGUGUAGUGGGUUUGAUUAUUUUGCAUCUAUUUUAUUUGGUUUUGGUUGAUUAUGGGUGAUAAAACUUGGUGAUGUCAAAUAUCAAAAGUUUGAUAGAUGGAUAUUGGGCUUUAGACAAUGAUUUGCUAGAAAAAAAUGGCUGCAAUGAGAGGAAAAGGCAAGGGGAUUUGAAUGUGGGGUUGAUUGUUGAUGAAUUGUUGUUUUGGACAAAAUUUGAGGUUGAGUUUUGUCAAAUUUGGUAGCAAGUGGCGAGAUUUGUUCAGGUUUCGGGAAAUAAAUUGGAUUGUGGUUUCUUGGGCACCCACAGUUGUUGGAAUUGGUUUUGAUUCAAAUAAAGGUGGUUACUUGAUUUUCCUAAUAGUGUUGCUUAAGAGCACACGAUCAUCAAAAUUCCUUAUUUUUAUCUUUUUUUUUUUGUAGAAAAGAUUUCAUGACUUUCGUGAUAGUCUAAUUUGGAAGAAGGCAAUCAAGGGAUGCAAUCAACAUUUAGCAAAAGCUCUUGUUCUUUUCUUUCUAUUUUUUAGGGUAAAAAGGGUAGUUUAGGGUAUUUGAAGGAAAUGAUAGUCUAUUGGGUCUAUUUUGAAGCAUAAAUAGUGAACGUAAGGGAGGUUGGUGUAAUUUCUGAAACCUAAGGGGAAUUGUCUAAAUUGUCCGAGACCUCAGAGAAGGUUUUCGAAAUUAUCCCUAAGAAAUCAAAUGCGAAACUUGAUUAGUACACACACACACGACACUGCACCACGGCACGCGUGUGUUGAGAACUGAUGUCCGUAACCAACGACAAGCAGGUUUUCAAUUUUUUUUUCCUUUCCUGGAUUCUCCAGAGAUGGUGUCAGCUUCUAUUAUUGAUGAGCAGGAGGAAAUCCACAAUAUACAGUACACAUCACCCAUAUUCUUUUUAAUUGAACAAUGUAUGAAAUUAUGGUGAUUCGAAAUUAAAUUAUAUGUUUAUUGGGCAACGAAUCCAAAAUAAGAAUUGGAAAUGUAUUGUGGCAACAAUUGUUAACUUAGGCUACAAAUGAUCAAAAUAAAUAUUUAAGAUUUAAUAUGACAUUAUGGGUUCAAAAUAUAGUUACUUGUUAUGAAACAACUAAAAGUGUGGAUGUCCAUUUGUAUUCUCAAGAGGAUCAAUUCAUAAUUCAUUGCUCCCAAGAGGAUUAAUUCAUAAUUCAUUGCUACAUUAUGUGAAGGAAUUACAUUAGAUGAACGGUUUCAAUCCAUAAGAGCUAUUCAUGUAUUGGAUGAACCGUUUCACAUGGCUAUUCAUGUUCUUGUAGUAAUAAGUAUUUAAUAGAAUUGAUGUAUGUUUAAUUUUGUAGUACCUAUAUAUAGAGGUACCUUGGCACCUCUUGGCUGUCCUUUUUGAUUAAUUUGAAUAAUAAGAAAAUCAUUCUCUAUUUCUAUACUUCUUUCUCUAAUAUUUCAAUUCUUAUUAUAGUAGUUCAUUAUUUUUUUAGUUUUACAACACGUUAUCAGCACGAGUCUCUAUUUUUGAAUAAAAAACUGAAAAUGGAGCCUAUACCUUAAAAAAAGCAAAAAAUGUGAUUCUGCUGAAAUUCUGCAUGUAUUUUUCCGGCAACUUCUAUCUACUUAUUGAGAAAUGGAUGCCAAAUAUUUGGGAUUAAAUAAUGGUGAUGAUGACAUUUGUCUCAUUGAUUGUACUACUACGCACACUAUAUUGAAAAAAAAAAUUCUUGUAUGAAAAUGGGAGAGACAAAUGUUAAUACCAUAAGUGGUAGUGCAAAAUUGAUUGAAAGUUCUGGAAGAGCCACUCUAUUUCUUCCUGAAAGGACUAAAAUUGUCGUAAAUAAUGCACUACUAUCUCUCAAGUCUUGAAGAAAUUUAUUCAGUUUUAAAGAUAUCUGCGAAAAAUGGAUAUCAUAUCGGGACAAUAAAUGAGACAAAUGGAGAAUUUUUAUUAAUCACAAAUAUCAUUUCUGAGCAGAAAUACGUAGUAGAAAAAUUACCUUCUUUUUCUUCUGGCUUAUAUUAUGCACAAAUUAGUGCAAUUGAAAUUUAUCACCUAGGAGACCAGAAUUCUACUCAUCCCAAUAAUUUUAUGAUUUGGUAUGAUUGUCUCGAAAAUCCUAGAUAUAUAAUGAUGAGGCAAAUAAUUGAGAAUUCACAUGGUCACUCAUUGAAAAAUCAAAAGAUAUUAAAAGCAAAUAAAUUCUCUUGUGUUGCUUGUUCCCACGGAAAAUUAAUUAUUAGACCAUCACCAGUAAAAGUUGGGACUGAAUCCUCUACAUUUCUAGAACGAAUUCAUGAUGAUAUAUGUGGACUUGUAGAUCCACCAUGUGGACCAUUUCGAUAUUUUAUGGUGCUAAUUAAUGCAUUAACUAGAUGAUCACAUGUAUGUUUAUUAUCUACUCGCAACUUGGCGUUUGCGAGAUUGUUUGCUCAAAUAAUUAAAUUGCGAGCACAAUUUUCAAACUAUCCAAUAAAGAAAAUUCAUCUAGAUAAUGCUGGUGAAUAUUCGUCACAUGCUUUUGACGAUUAUUGCAUGUCCAUUGGAAUAACUGUUGAACAUCCUGUAACUUAUGUUCACAUUCAAAAUGGUUUAGCCGAAUCAUUUAUUAAAUGGCUAUAAUUAAUUACUAGACCAUUGUUGAUGAGAUCUAAACUUCCUUCAUUUGCUUGGGAACAUGCUAUAUUACAUGUAGCAAUACUUGUGAGAAUUAGAUCGACAAGUUAUCAUACUUAUUUUCCCCUAUAAUUAACUUUUGUUUUUGAGUCCAAUAUUUCUCAUUUACGAAUAUUUGGUUGUUCGAUUUAUGUUCUAAUUAUACCGUCCCAACAUCGUAAAUUAGACCCGCAAAGAAGAUUGGGGAUAUAUGUUGAGUAUGAAUCACCUUUAAUUAUUAAGUAUAUGGAACCAUUGACAGGUGAUUUAUUUACUGCGAGAUUUGCAGAUUGUCAUUUUGAUGAAUCACAUUUUUCGACAUUAGGGGGAGAUAAAAAUCAACCGAAAAAGAAAAUCACUUGAAAAAUAUCUUUGAAUUUCCUCGAUUCUCAUACCAAAGAAUGUGAACUAGAAGUUCAAAAGAUUAUACAUUUGCAAAAAAUUACAAAUCAAUUACCGGACGCAUUUAAUGACUCCAGAAAAGUUACUAAAUCACAUAUUCCUAUUGCAAAUGCUCCGAUUAAAUUAAUGUCUUUGAAGGACAAAUUACAAAUGUUAACGAGUCUAAAGCGUACCUAAAGCGUGGAAGACCUCUUGGUUCCAAAGAUAAAAAUUCUCGAAAGAAAAGAGGAGUAGAUGAAUCAACAAUUAGUGACAAAAUUCAACUUCCUGAAGAGGUCGCUCCUAAAGAGCCAAUUCUUGAAGAGAAUGAAAUUAUAGAAAAUUCAUUAAAUUUUGUCAUUUCAGGAAAAAGUUAGAAUCGAAAAGAAAUAAUUAUUGAUAGUAUUUUUGCAUAUAAUAUACCACUUGAUAUUAUGGUAGAGAAUAAGGAUCACGAGCCUAGAUAGGUUGAUGAAUGUCGACGUAGAAAUAAUUGGGCAAAAUGGAAAGAUGUGAUCCAAUCUGAAUUGAACUCACUGGUUAAAAGAAAAGUUUUUGGACCUGUAGUCCAAACACCUGAAGGUGUAAAGCCAGUAGGAUAUAAAUGGAUAUUUGUGAAAAAAAAAAUGAGAAAAAUGAAAUCGUGAGGUAUAAAGCAAGACUUCUAGCCCAAGAAUUUUCACAAAGGCUUGGAUUUGAUUAUGAUUACACGUAUUCACCUGUAGUGGAUGCUAUCACAUUUAGAUAUCUUGUGAGUUUUGCAGUACAUGAAAAAUCAGAUAUGCAUCUAAUGGACGUCGUUACUGCAUAUUUAUAUGAAAAUCUUGAUAAUGAUAUUUAUAUGAGAAUCCCCGAAGGAUUCAACAUGCCUGAAGCAUACAAAUCAAAUCCUAAAGAUAUUUAUUCUAUUAAAUUACAAAGAUUUUUGUAUGGGCUUAAACAAUCUGGACGUAUGUGGUACUGCCUCAAUGAAUGUUUAACUAAAGAAGGCCAUACCAAUGAUCCAAUAUAUCCAUGUGUCUUUAUCAAGAAAAAUGGAUCAAAUUUUGUGAUAAUUGUUAUAUAUGUUGAUGAUUUAAAUCUGAUUGAAACUCUUGAAGAGAUUAGUGUUGAAUAUUUGAAGAAGAAAUUUGAGAUCAAAGAUUUUGGAAAAACAAAAUUCUGCCUUAGUUUACAAAUUAAGCAUUUGAAAAGUGAAAUUUUUGUCCACUAAACUGCUUAUACCCCGGAAGGUAUUAUAGCAGUUUUAUAUGGAUAAGGCACAUACAUUAAGUACCCCAAUGGUCAGAUCAUUAGAUCCUAAUAAGGAUCCUUUUAGACUGCGAGAGGAAGAUGAAGAGAUACUUGGUCCUAAAGUACCAUAUCCCAAUACAAUUGGUGCACUAAUAUAUCUUACUAAUUGUAGAAGACCUGAUAUAUCAUUUGCAAUAAAUUUAUUAGCAAGAUUUAGUUCCUCGCCCACAAGACGACAUUAGAAUGGUAUUAAACAUAUUUUUCGUUAUCUCCAAGGAACAAUUGAUCUUGGUUUAUUUUAUUCAAAUAAAUCUAAGCUUGAAUUGCAUGAUUAUGCUAAUGCUGGAUAUUUAUCUGACCGGUAUAAAGCAAGAUCUCAGACUGGUUAUCUAUUUAUACAUGGAGGUACAGCCAUUUCUUUGCGAUCUACAAAGCAAUCGUUAGCCGCCACUUCAUCGAAUCAUGCUGAAAUAAUAGCAAUUCAUGAGGCUAGUCGAGAAUGUGUUUGGUUAAGAUCAAUGACCCACUAUAUCCGUAAGAGUUGUGGGUUAUCCUCCGAAAAAGAAAAUCCUCCAACUAUAUUAUAUGAAGAUAAUGUAGCUUAUAUAACUUAAUUGAAAGGAGAAUAUAUUAAAGGAGAUAGAACAAAACAUAUUUCACAAAAAUUCUUUUGUACUCAUGAUUUACAAAAGAAUGGUGAAAUUUAUGUGCAACAAAUCCGAUCAGAUAAUAAUUUGACAGAUUUAUUUACCAAUGCAUUGCCAACUGUAAUAUUUGAGAAAUUGAUGAAGAAUAUUGGAAUGCGACAAUUAUAAGAUCUCAAAUGAUAUUUGCAUCAGGGGAAGAAAUCAAUACACAAAAAUAGUGUACUAUUUUUCCAUCACUAGGGUUUUCGUCCCAUUGGAUUUUUUCCUAAUAAGGUUUUAAUGAGGCAUAUUCUUUAUGUAAUGGACAUCCAAUGGGGAGUGUUAUGAAACAACUAAAAGUGUGGAUGCCCAUUUGUAUUCUCAAGAAGAUCAAUUCAUAAUUCAUUGCUCCCAAGACGAUUAAUUCAUAAUUCAUUGCUACAUUAUGUAAAGGAAUUACAUUGGAUGAACGGUUUCAAUCCAUAAGAGUUAUUCAUGUAUUGGAUGAACCAUUUCAUAUGGCUAUUUAUGUUCUUGUAGUAAUGAGUGUUUAAUAGAAUUGAUGUACGUUUAAUUUUGUAGUACCUAUAUAUAGAGGUAUCUUGGCACCUCUUUAGUGUACUUUUUGAUUAGUUGGAAUAAUAAAAAAAUCAUUCUCCAUUUCUGUACUACUUUCUCUAAUAUUUCAAUUCCAAUUAUAGCAGUUCAUUUUUUUUUUUGGGUUUACAACAUUACUCAAAGAAGAGAGUUAUUGGACUAUAUGUUUAUUGACCUCUACUAACUUAUUUAAGGUCAUUUCAUAUCACUAUCCAAAGAAAAAUUCUUGGGCGUUAACAUUUUUCUUACAUGCCAAGACUAUUAAUGAAAGUUGACCCAAAUCUCUCUCUCUCUUUCUCUCAAUUCUUAGGACUGAUGCCAAUUCUUACCAUUUAGAAAGAAAAAUUAGAUUGUUUAUAUAUAUGAUGAGUUCCCUCUAAGUCAUGGUUAAGAAAAAUUCUUAGUUUUAUGAAAUGUGAAUUUCCUUUUCGUUGUCUUUAUUCAUUAGUAUUAUUGGGGUUAUUGUAUUAUGAUUGCAAUGCACAGAUACAUGGAUUUUUGACAUUUUUUUUCUCAUUUUUUCUUUUUAAUCGACUCUGACUAUGUCUCAAACUCGAGACAUCAAACCUGGACACGACUUUUGUCCAAAAUGCUUGUAAAAAAUCAGAAGAAUAAUUUUGGACCUUAUUAUUUAAUAAUGGUACGAUUAUGAGAGUCAUUCCAGGUUAAUUAUCAAACUUGUAACUUGAAAAUAAUGUCGACAUCAUGUCAUUAUUAUUUUCUAGUUUCAUAGAAAAAUGAAGUAUUCUCCAACUCGACAUUAUCAUAUUAUUCUCAAUUGGCAGCUCAUGUGAGAAAGACAAGAAAUUCACAAUCAACUGGCCAAGAGAGUGCCAACAAAGAAAGCACUAAAUGGCUUAAACAAAGCAUGCAAAUUUGCUUAGCACUUAAACAAUAGACACCUAAAUCAACCAUGUCACUGUCUUGCCAAAAAAGGGCAUUAAAGUAAAAACAACUCAUGCCUAACACAGGUAACAAACUUCAGCACCUUCACUUCACCGCCACGUCAUCAACAACAUUUGCAAAUUUCCAAGGAAGUCCACGCACUAAAGGUGCCCAUGCCCUUAGGGGACCUCAGGUUAGUGUUCUUAACAUCAACUCCUGUCUUUAUAUUCUUAGGAAAUAUUGAAAUUAAACAUUAUCACUAAUCCUGAUUUCCUUAUGCUAUAUUUGUACACAAUUUGGCAACAAGGUUGUCCUUUUUUGGGCCAAAUUGGACAAGUAAAAAAAAGAAAAUUAAAAGGUUUAUCUGCAAACUGUAGUUCGGCCUGCCUCUUUUUUUUUUUUUUUUGGGGAUAAGAUCGUCAUGUAUCAAUAUUUCUGUACUUAGCAUUGGCUUCUUCUCGCCUGAAGAACACACGAACCACCGGAUGAAAGUGGUGAAUGAAAGUGCACUUAACCCUUUUAAUUUUUCAAAACAAUGCUUUUAGAAAAAAUAAUAAAGACUUUUUUGAAUUUAAUUUUAGAGAAGAAGAAUUUUAAACUUUUUUGAAUUUAAUCUUACAGAAGAAGAAGUUUAAAAUGUACUUUAAUUUUCACAACUGAUGAUGAGAAUAGCAAAAUGUAUACGGACGGUGACAAAAGUGCCGUCUUAUCCUUUUGCUGACGGCCCGUUUUCCAAUGAGAGGAUGCCUCUGCUUCGUAUUUUAUCCAUAUUGAUAUAUAUUCUUUUCUGUCCCCCUAACUAUUAAAUGUGAAAGGUUGCCCACCAAAUUUGACGAAACCGUUUAUCCUAAUUGAUUAUUAUCCAUAGGGCAUAACUUUAAUAUUCUUCUUCCAACCCGUCCGUCAAUGACCACUAACCACCUCUAAUCUAUUCUCAAAUUUUAAUGAAAUUGCGCAAUUAGUUUUCAUUUCUCACUUUUAUUUCAAAUUUGGUCUCAAUUUAAUGUGAAUCCCAAUAAAUAAGACCGGAGUUGAAAUCAAAGAACGUAUUUCAAUCACCAUCGGAUAAAUUCUUCAUGUCUAGUUUUGUCCUUGAGAUGCAUAGAAAAUGUAAGCUGAUCUUGCAGUCUACGAGAAAAACGAAGUCUAAGAGAAUAAUUUUGUCAAAACUUGACAAUGGAAUGAACCGGUGGUCGCUGGUUGGCAGCUGCUAGAAGUCAUAGCAGUUUUAAAACAUAAUUGCAGCAAGUAAAAGAUUAAAACUACGUUGUGUACUGUUAACGACUUACAUUGACAAAAUGGUUAAGGACAGAGUUGAAAGAUGAAUCAAACUGUUCGACAUUCGAUUCGAAUUUGACUUGGUAAAAACUUAUUCCAAUUUGAUUUGUCAGCUAGUCAAAUCUAAUUUAAAUAGUAUUUAACUUUGAAACUUGAUAAAAAGUUUGUUCAAACUCAGUUUACUAAAUAAACAAGUCAAAUUUGAACAAAAUUUCAAACUCAUUAAAAUAAUUAAAUACGUUUGAAUACUAGGAUAUUCGAUUUAAUUAAAUGCGAUUGCACCCCUAAUUAAAGCAUGUACUUUUUUUAUAAAUUUAGGAAUCAACAUUAUACAUUUAAUAGCUAGCUAGAGGGUCAAAAAGUUAAUUGCCUUAAAAUUCUUUUAGCAGCCAUAAAGUAUAGUUGGAGGGAUUCCCUUGAAAUUGAUUAGAUUCUUCUAUGUGACUAAAGAAUUUCGGGUGUGACGUAUUACUAGUCCUACCCUAAAAAAAAUGGUAUUACUAGUCCUUUUUUUCUUUUUUAGCGUGCCCCCGCCGUGGAGUGUGGGGAGGGUGGUCUGUGCGAGAAUUCUAGAUGGGGUACAAGGUGCCAAAGUUCACCUUAUUCAAAGUAAACAACCUUCCAUCUCAGAUGUUGAAUUUCCUGGCAAUUGCGUAUAUAUUACAAUCUUUUACCAUGACUUUAGAGGACAGCUAAAUUUGCUUGCUAUUAAAUAAUAUUUUCGGUAGUCUAUAAAUACUCUUGGUCCUAACUGCUUCUUGCACCACAUAAUUCUUUCAAGAACUACCAAAACCUUCUUGAAAUCCCUCUUUUUCCUUUUAGUUCAUUUCCAAGAAACAAAUUGAACCAUCAUGGCCCCUGUCACUUCCAGUUAUGAGGUCACCUGCUCAAUCCCUCCUGCAAGGUUGUUCAAGGCCACCAUCCUUGAAGAGAAGCAUCUUCACAAGAUCUUGCCACAGGGCGUUAAGAGUGUCGAAAUCCUUGAAGGAGAUGGUGGAGUUGGCACAAUUAAGUUGACCACAUUUGUUGAAGGUAAGAUAUCAAUACAAAGUGAUUAUGUUCACAAAUUUGAAGUCUUCAAAUUGCUCACUUUUUUUUUCUUUUAUUUGGGAAAAGCUAAUGACUUUUUUUUUUUUUUUUGGUUGGGUUAAAUAUUUAGGUGGCGAGCUUAAGACUGCCAAACAGAAAGUUGAUGGAAUUGACAAAGAAAAAUUUACAUACAGUUAUACUGUACUUGAAGCUGAUGGAUUUAACGAUGUAAUCGAGAAAAUCUGUUGUGUCAUCAAAUUUGAACCCUCUGCUGAUGGAGGUUCAAUCUGCAAAACCACUAAUACAUACUACCCCAAAGGUGGUGCUCAGAUCAGUGAGGAACACGUCAAGGGAGGAAAAGAGAAGGGUUUGGGAAUGGUUAAGGCUGUUGAGGCUUACCUCCACGCAAAUCCUAC